RNAcentral lists this long non-coding RNA (51532 nucleotides) under Chlamydomonas reinhardtii. Its description in RNAcentral is "long non-coding RNA (CREI_LNC000020)". The record is from RNAcentral. Lineage: Eukaryota; Viridiplantae; Chlorophyta; Chlorophyceae; Chlamydomonadales; Chlamydomonadaceae.
GGUCGGGCGGGGUGGCUAUGACUCAGCUAUGAGCCCAUGACUCAGCCAUGACUCAGCCGAGGCACGAGUGCAACUUACAUCCCCCCCCGCCCGACUUCCUCACCGGCCACAAUCACUUGCUUCUUCAUUGAUGACACAUACACACAUACACACACACACACACACACACACACACACACACACACACACACGCGCGUAUGUACACGUAUACAACAGGCUCUGGCCAAGACGCAGGCGCUGCAGCUGAAGCAAGACCUGGUGGGUGGGUGGGUGGGUGGGUGGGUGGGUGGGUGGGUGGGUGGGUGGGUGGGUGGGUGGGUGGGUGGGUGGGUGGGUGUGGUUGUGGGUGGGUGGGUGUAUGUGGGGAGGGAUCGCAGAUGGGCGCAGAGGAGAUACGCCUGUGAAACCUCAAGCCAACUUCCAUGCGGCACCCUACGUGUACACUUCAUCCCUUCUGGCUGCUGUGUAACCCCCUACCUGCCCUUCCCCCUGCCUGCCUUACCCCUACCUGCUGCCCUUCCCCCGUGCGCCUGCACCUGCCUUCACGCCUUCAGGGCAGCGCCAUCCUGGUCAACAAGAUGUUUGACCAGUUCGCCACGGCGUACGGCAAGCAGUACACGCCCACGCAGGCGCUGGUGGCCCGCAAGGCCUUCGAGACCAACCUGCAAACCAUCGCCAGCAUCAACCUGGACGCCGCCAGCACCUUCACGGUGCGUGCGUGUAUGGGCAAGCCGCCUCACCUACCUAUGCACCUACCCCGAACCCACACGCCUGCACGCACGCACGCACGCACACACACACACACACACACACACACACACACACACACACACACACACACUCACAAUGCCUGCCUGCCUGCCUGCCUGCCUGCCUUCACCUCCCCGCCGCCCGACGCCCCCGCAGGCCAGCUGCAACGCCUACUGCGACACGGACUUCGACACCUUCCAGCGCCAACAGCUCAUGGACGUGGGCUCGCUGGGGGACAUGCCCACGGGUGAGCGGCGGGGCAGAGGGGCGAGGAGGGAGGGGGGAGGCAGGGAGGGGCAGUGAACAGACAGCAGGAGCAAGGUGGGGUCGGGAUGAUGAGGGAGGGAAGUAAGGUGGCAGGGAAGACGGGAUACGACACGAGUUUGGUGUCGGUAUAUAUGGUAGCCAUAGAGCAGCGGCUUGACCGCAUGACCGCAUGACGCAUUGUGCGUGGCUUUCUUUUGGCGACGCUCCUCUCCAUCAUGCGCAGGCGCGGACGACCUCCCCGGCUCUGACGGCGUGGGACCCGGUGACGCGGGUCCGGGGGGUGACGCCACCGGCGGGCCCGGGCGGCGGCUGCAGCAGUCGUGGCCGCCCGCGGUGGUGGACUGGCGCGCGGCGGGCAAAGUGACGCCCAUCCGCAACCAGGGCGGCUGCGGCAGCUGCUGGGCCUUGUGAGUUACUGUAUGUUUGUGCGUGCGUGUGGUGUGUGGCGGAGCGUGUGUGGUGUGUGGCGGAGCCGACGCCCAGAUCGAUCCUGACCGCAGAGGGGGUUGGAUGCUAGGUGCUGCCAUUUCCACAUCCACCCGCCAAGCAAUUUCCUAAACCCGCCUUCACUUCUUAAACAACCAUGAAUGUAACCCCCCAAGAUGGCCUAGGGUCUACCACUUCCUCAGCUAAUCAUGAAUGUAACCCCCCCACCACCACACACACACAGGUUUCGUUUCGUUUUUUAACACACACACACACACACACACACACACACACACACACAUCCCUCCCCAUGAUGUGCAGCGCCGCCACUGCCGCGCUGGAGUCCAACUACCUCAUCCGCUACGGCUCCGGCCCCGCCUGCGACAGCCUGGACCUGUCGGAGCAGCAGCUGGUGUCGUGCGCCAACAAGGACGAGGGGUACGGCGGAAGCAAGUGAGUAUAGCGACAAGGACGAGGGGUACGGAGGCAGCAAGUGAGUAUAGCGACAAGGCUGCCGGGACGGCCUACACUGCUAAUGGGCGAUGCGGCAUGACGUGGGAUGGUGUGGGAGGAUGUGGGAUGAUGUGGGGUGGUGUGGGACGGUGUGGGAUGAUGUGGCUGAUGUGGCUGCCGGAGUGCGUUUCACGGGCCCAGCUAGCCCCUGCCCCCUGUCCCCUGGCGGCGUCACUCUCAAGUACGGUACUCGCCCCCACCUGGCCGCCCCAGGGGCUGCUCGGGCGGCUGGAGCACGGACGCGCUGGACUACGUGUACAAGCGCAAGCAGAUGACCGAGCGCUGGUGAGGUUGAGGGAGGCAGGGGUAGGGAAGGGAAGGGGCGGGAGGGCAGAGCGGCCGGCCGGAUCCUUCUUCCUCACGUUCGGGUUGCACUUGGACCUUUGACCGCCGGUGCAUUCCCAGGAGACGCGCACCCAACCGCCCACCUUCACUUUUAUAAAAAAAAAAUCAAUCAUGAAUGUAACUCCCCCGCCCCCGCCCCCGCACACGCCCGCAGGUGGCCCUACACCCAGUCCACGGGCACCUGCAACCGCGGCAUGCCGGGCCCGGGCGAGCGCAUCGCCACCGGCCGCUCCUUCUACCUGAGCACCGCGGCCAGCGAGGACAGGCUCAAGCGGGUGCGUGCCCUAGGGGGGCCGGGAGGGACGGACGUGACUCUGUGUGUGACCGCCGUGCGUUUGUGUAUGCGCGCCUUGCGGUAUUCCCCAACCCUCCCCCUGUUCCUGGGUACGCCUUCACUUCUUAAGUAAUCAUGACUGUAACCCCCCGCCUUGCUACUUGUGUCUUCUGCUUGCCGUGUCUUGAUGUCUGCCCGCCGCCCUGCCGCUGCCCCCAUGCCGUUCUCAGUGGGUGGCCAUCGGUCCCACCGUCAUCUACUUUUGUGUGGAGGACUCAUUCCGCUGGUACACGGGCGGCUACUACAGCAGCAACACCUGCGGCACCUGCCACAACCACGCCAUGGUCGCGGUGGGGUACACGUGAGUAGUCCCGGCCAUGGUCGCGUUGCACUGCCCCGCGCUUGGGCCUCUGCUCCAUCCUUUCCAGCCUCCCCAGGCUCGCUUGUCCUUGCUCGCCUGACUGUGCGCCUCCCUCCCUCCCUGCUUCCCUCCCUUCCUGCCUCCCUAUUUCCCUCCCUCCUUGCCUCCUUGCCUCCCGCCCUCCGCAGUGCCACCGGCGCCAACCCGCACUGGCUGAUCCGCAACUCCUGGUGAGCGAGCUCCCGCCCGACCCCCUGCCGCCCACAAAUGUUGAGGCCACCAACCAGCCAUUACAUGCACCUAAUAACCUAACAUUGGCGGAGCUGCUCUCACCUGCUCACCUGCCGCCGCUGCUGCUGUCUACUGCUGCUGCUGUAGGGGCACUGGGUGGGGCGGCUGGGAGUUUGGCUACAUCCGCGUGCGCAUGCAGGGCAGCACCGCAGGUGGGUGGAAUGGAGAAAGAGUGGAGGGGAGGGGAGUGGAAAAGAGUGGAGUGGAAUGUCAGGGAGGGCAGCAGCUGUUGCAUUCAUCUCGUGCGCAACUGCGCCUCAACCUAACCGGCAUGGCUAGGCAGCGAACUAUGCGGCAUGGUUAGCUAGGCACGCAGCAGGGCGUGUGCUGUGACCCGCUACCGUCCCCUCGCUCCUUACCUGCAUUGCGCACCGUGCCCUCAUCACGCACACCUACGCGCCACCCGCCCUCGUGCCUGCACACACGCACCUGACCCCUCCCAUGCCCUCCCGCCAUCUGCACCGUCUUUGCAACCCCUCACACCUUCGCCCCCCCCCCCCUAUUCGGACCUAUUUCGUGCGCGCAGGCCCGUGUGGGCUGCACCAGACAGCCAUCGCCCCCACCUUCCAGUUCACGGAGACGCUGUCCUCGCGCUGCCCGCCGCCGCCGCCCAAGCCGCCGGCGCCGUGCCGCGGCAUUUUCUGCAACAUCGACAUCUUCCGGCCCGGCAUCAACAUUGUCGACCUUGUGAGUUCCGCAACCUAAACGGGUGGUACACUUAUGAUAUCUAGCUUAGCAUUUGCGAUCAGUAGAUGAAAGCAACCUCCGGCCAUCACAUCUCACAUCUCUGACUUAAGGCAUCUUUCCAGGCAGCCACGGCGGUCAAGGCAGCCACGGCCACAUAACCAACCAUUUACGCAACUCACUCAAUUGCCCCGCCUUGCUCGCUCUAAACACACACAGCUCCCGUCGCCCUCGCCGCCGCCGCCCUGCACGAGCAUUCUGUGCAAGGGCCUGGUCACCGGCGUUGACAUCACCAAGAUAUUGACGCCCACGCCCGCGCCCGUUGUCAACAUAAACGACAAGAUUAAUCAGGUCAUCAACGGCGGCGGCCUUGGGGGCUUGGGCCGCCACCGCCGUUUGGGUGCCGCCGACACGGCCGCUACUGCUGCUACUGCUAAGGAUGCCACAGCUACUGCUACUGCCGAGCAGCAGGAGGAGGAGGAGCAGGUCCUGGAGUUGGUGGAGGAGGAGGAAGAGGAGGAGGAGGAGGUGGAGGGGGAUGAGAACAUUGAGAUGGAGGGGCAGGAUGAGGUGCACCAUCAGGCGGUGUGAGCAGCCACCCUAGCAACGCCACCAACACAUGCGCACGCGUGCACAUGUGCAUGCGCACGCGCCACUGCAGAGGGCAUUCACACGUGUACAUAUGCAAAAUGGUUUGUACGUACGGAUCCACGCACGCACGCACGCACGCACGCACGGAGAAGAUACGCGCACGUACGGCAGAGGUAGGGAGGUACCGGCGCAGCUGACACCAUGUCUCAUGGCGAGCCGAUACGGUGGUACGCGCGCAGAGCUUGUGCACCAAAAUACACUUGACAAAUGGCACAGCUGAUGUGAUUGUUGAACCUGGUUUUCAUUUUUGGUGGUUUACGUGGUACGGCACUUGAGAUGGGCGCGGAUGGACGCGGUAUACUGGGCCAACCGCUUAUUUUGGGAACUGGCUGGUGUGUGAGCAAGAUGGGUCCUGCUGGGGUCAGUGGCGUGGCAAUUUGUCGUGUGAAGCCCUGAUGAUGGAAAAUAAUGAUCAAGCAACACCCCGACCUCAUAAUACAUAAUGCCGCGGGGGGCAGGUUGCAGCGGGUUUACUUCCUCUUUGCUUUCAAUCGCCUUCUACGUCUUCCCUCCUUCCGCCUGCCUUCCCUUUCUAUCUCUUUCUCACUUUGAUUACUUGGGCCGUCGAUGUUGAAGCAUGGAAUUGUGGCUAGCUGGCGUGACAGCCGCGUGCAGGUGGCUGCGUGAGCGAGGUGUGCGCGCUAGUUCCAACAUAAAUUGCCACGACGUAUAAACCGCCAUGGAAAUUGUCGGCGGCGUGCACAAAACCAGUAGGAAGUGGGACCUUUUGUGACUCUGUGUAUGGGUGCGUGCUCCGUAAGUGGGGGGAGGUGAGGGUGCGGGCGCUACGCCGUUGAUCCUCCACCCAAGCCCCAGAGUGUUGAGUCGCGCGUGCAGAACUUGCGAAGCCUGCUGGAUUGUUUUCCUGGAUAAAUGGAACAGCUGAUAAAUAUUUGCGGCUUUGUUUGGUGAAAUGGUUUUGCGAAUGGGCUCGGAGCUUUCUGUACUGUUAAAUGCGAACCCUUCAUCUGCGCUGGCCGCGCACGCAAUAACACCGCGCUCACGCUAGGCUGCUUCGUCUGGUGUGGCGCCGGCAAGAGCACCGUGAGCAUCCCAUUGUGAUCAUAAGUGUGCGGCACAACGGGCUGGGAGCCCCAGGUAUAUACGGUAUUGGUGUGGCGCCAUGCAUGGGAUAGGAUCGUGCCGGACUUCCUGUUUGGAUGCAUGUAUGCAUGCGGGUGUGCAGCGCUGCGCUGCUGGUUUCAGAUGUGGCGGCACCUGCGUCUGCCGCCACGAGGGCGGACCCGGGUUGAGUGGGCCUCGGCAGCAUACGAUGGUCCGUGUGUGCUCGCACACUCAGGCCGACCCCCCUCUUGCAUUGCCGCAAACAUUCGUCAUGUGGAUUUGGGGGCCUCCAUGGUUUCUAUCGCCGUCUCCCCAGAGGCGGGGACGGACACGUGUGUACAUACGGAUUGCGAUGGAAGGGUGUGGACAUCACGUGUGCAUGUGCAUGUAAACUACUUCCACGGCGCACGUGUGCCCAAAUGCAUCACGCGACACUGGCACCUGCGUGCAUUGACACGGCAGGCCCCCGUGCUGCAGUGCUGCAGCCCAGCUGGCACCUACAUAUGACCAGCAGGGCUUUUGAGUUUUGACCCGCCAGUCCCACCUACCCAUGAUCAGCCUAUGCCUGGCUAACCAGUGGGCCCAAGCCGGGACGCUGGAACGCAAACAACAGGCGUAGCGCCUUGCAGCGGGGGCGUGCGUUACAAAACUGUCCAAAUGAACUGGUGGUAUGGAAGCGUGUUCGUGGAGAGCGUCGCGCGUGGGCGAGGACUCUGCUGGCCCACCCCGUGCCCCAGCAGCCCCAAGGCCCCUGGCACUUUCCUCCGUCAUGCGCUUUACGCAUUUAGCCUCUGUCAACCACCUGGAAGCGCUGUAGAAGACGUGAGUCCCUGUGACUUCAGACGCCAGACAGCAGCACCACCAACAAUCCCACUCCUGCCAUUACCUCGCAACACACAGAUUGAUAGCGCUCCCUGUGUCUCGCACUCUCUCGCUCAACAGCGCUCUCGCACUCUCUCGCCCACUUCUCUACCUGACUGGCACCUGUUGCCACCCACCCCGGCCCCGGCACUCCCGAGGCUGGGGCCUCAGGCACCCCGGCUCGGACCACUACAUAGCCUGUCUGUCAUACAGGCCUGGCAUCUACAGGCAUCUACAGGUCUGCGGCACCUGCCGGCCUUGAAUCAUCAACCCAAAUCCAUCCGUGGCAACUAACAAAUGGCAGCUUCCAUCCCGCUGGGCCCAAUCAAGCCCCAUGCCAAACGGAGCACACACGUGCGGAAACUAUACCAUGCACACACACGCGUGUAUGCCCCCUUCAUCGCUCUCCUAGCACGGCGUUGCAAGACACUCACGGCCACUCCCGCGGGCGGUCAGCCUCGCGCUCUCAUCGCUCCACUCCUAGUAAGCACCCACUCCAGCGCACUCCUGGCCACUCCUCCCUGGCCACUCCCCCCUGGCCACUCCUCUCCUACUCCUUCUUUGGCGAAGCGGGCGGCGACUUGGGCUUGUACUCGCGCGCUCCAAAAAUUGUGGAUCCCACCCGGAUGUUGGUGGAGCCCAUCUCAAUCUGUCACAUGGGGAGGGGCGUGGGAGUGGGGCGUGGCGGUGGAGCAAGGGGAGAGGAAAGGCUGGGGGCAGGGAGAGGAGGACGAGCCCUGAAGAGCCGCAAAAUUUGAGGCUGGAUUGGGCAGGAGGCAGGGAUUCCCUUGGCAGGGGUUCCCUUGGCAGGAGGUGCCAAGGAGAGGCGUCCGCUGCCCCCUGCCCCUGCCCCUGUCCACCACCAUCCCUCCUGCCUCUCGUCCCUCUCCUCCCUCUCCUCUCGCUCUCCUCCCUGUCCUCCCUCUCCUCGCUCCUCACCGCCUGCUCGAAGUCGCCGCUCAUGCCCAUGCUCAGCUCCAGCUGCUCGGGCCGCAGACCCAGCUCGGUCGCCACGGCGUCGCGGCAGCCCGACAGGCAGAUGAAGCACUCGGGCCGUGAGGAGUAGUCGGGCAUGCCUGUUGCGUGUGUGCGUGUGUGCGUGUGUGUGUGGAGGGGGGGGGGUUGCAAGGAUGUUUGGAAAAGCGGUACAGGGGGGGUUGCAAAUACCAGCCCAAACUGAACCAAGCCGUGUGUGUGUGUUAUAUAUGUGUUACUGCUCCCGGUAAGAAGCGGGGUCUGCAGGUGCAGCCAGUCAGGGGGCCUGGGAAGGGGGCCCCGGGAGCAAGCUGCUCCCAGACAACCCCCACGGUGUUGCCCAGCCCCCAGCCCCCAGCCCCCCCCUCCCUCCCACGAUGUUCCCCAGCCCGCAGCCCCGCCUCAAGCCACGCCCCCAGUGCAGCCUCGGUCCCCACAGCCCCCCAUUUGCCAAAGCAUUGGCCACGCUCUCCUCCUCGCUCUUUCGCAUCGGAUUCGGUUUAGUUUGGGCUGGCAUCUACACCCCGAUCCCCCCAGGGGUCUCCCCAGUGCCGCCUGCCGCCUGCGCCGCUCUCACCGAUGGUCAUCAGCCCCGCUAGUCGGAGCUUGGGGCAGUUCUGUGGGGAGGUUGGCGAUAGGGCAGGGGAGAGAGAAGGGUUGGGACACUGGGCAGGUGCUGAGUUUUGAUAUCAGGUGAUUUGGUCUCGCCCCCCCCUGCACUUCCAUUCCGCCGUUUCGCCCACACCCCGCCCUCACCGCCCUCCUUCUGUUUCCUAUGCCCCCUCACACGCCACCUGCCCCCUAACGCCGCCGCACACCAGGUGCGCAACCCCCUCCCCCGCGCGCACCCACCUGCGCUAUGUGUUUGGCCAGCGACACGCACUCGGUCGGCUCCACACCGUACUUGGACUCCUCGCCACUGGUGUUGACCUGGGGGGAGAUUGGGGGGGGGGACAUUGGGGAGGGGGGAGAAAUGGGGAAUGGGAGGGAACACAUAUAAGAGUAUUUAAGAGGUGAAGGCGUAGCCAGGAGCAGUACCGCAGUAUAGCAGGCGCGUUGGGGAGGGGAGAUUGGGGAGGGCGGGGAUUGGGGAGGGCAGGCGGGCGGUUUCCGGGUGGGUGGGCGGUGGGGUGGGGAGGGUGGAUGGGGCUGUCCCAGAAAUGCACAGGGGGGGGCCAGGCACACGGCGCAAACGCGGCGCAAGCUCACUCCACGUCACGCCAGGCAUGACUGAAAACCCGUAUAUUACUAUACUUAACUACAGCAUCUGACUGGAAGCCAAACUUCCAUUCUUUCGCACAAACCCAAAGCCCCGAGGCCCCGGGGGGCGCCUCACCUGCACCAUGACGGCCAGCGGGGCGGUGCGGCCGCUGACCGUCUCGAGCGUCUUGUUCAGCUUGUCGGCGAGCUGCGCGAGUGGGGUGGGUCCGUGCGAGCGCUGUUUCUUUGCCUUGCCGGUGACAGGGAGAUGUACCGUACACGGCACCGGCGACGAGGCACACACAGACACGCACACGCGCGCACAUACACACACACACACAGACACAGACAACCCCCCUACACACACACACACACACACACAGACACAGACAACCCCCCUACACACACACACACACACACACACACACACACACCUUGGCCGAGUCCACCGUCUCCACCAUCGCUAGGUUGGGCACACCCUCUGCAUUGGGUGUGGGUGCGAUGUGGGUGUGAGCGUACUGGUGUUGGUGAGGUUGAGGUCAGCGGGUGGCGUGGGGAUUGGGGUGAGAGAGCUCACGGCUGCUGCGCCCCCAAGUCUAUCGCUAAUAUGCCCAUCACCCACUGAAUGAAUCACACGCCCACAUGCUCAUCGCCGCAUCGGCCCUUCCACCAAAUGAAUGCCGGCAGCCCGGCACCGUCUCCUCUGCGCCCCGCCAGCAUAUACACGCACCCCCCCACACACACACACAAACCCACUGCCCAAUCCUCUCCCUCCCCCACUCCCCACCACCCGCUCCCUACGCCUCCCAUGACCCACCCAGCACGGCCUUGACCUUGUUGGACUGCAGGUGGCCGAUGAAGUGCCACUGCACGUCGCCCGGCAGCGCCGGCGCCUUGUCCAGCAUCUCCUGUGUGGGAGCGGGAAGGAGGCGGGGGAGAGAGGGGGAACGGGGGUGGCGGUUAGGGAAGGAGUUGGCGGUUGGUGGCCUUGUGUGUUAGUGGGCAGGAGACGUGCCGGUGUGUGUGCGGUUGUACGGCAUGACGGCGGCCUCUGCAGCCACCUAGUGGCGGGCGGAGUCACCUGCACUCACUCAUCGGCACGCAUACACACACGCACACUGCUAUUCUUGUGGUUACCCAGCACACAUCCCUUCCGCGCGUGUGUGGGGUUCAACCCAUACCCCUGCCGAAGCCGCAACCCCAGAGCAAGCCCCAGAGCCGCUUGGCCCCCACAGCCCCGUUGUGCCCGCAGUCCCCACAGCACCCCAGCACCCCCCUCCCCGCCCCACAACCACCAUGCUUGUUAGCCCCACACCGCCACGCAGCGCGCCUGCACGUAGUUAGCCCCCCACCGCCACGCAACGCGCCUGCACGUAGUUCUCGCCGAACACGCGCUGCCCGGCGUCGUACGCCUCCUGCAGCGCCUCCGCGGGCUUGGUCUUGCUCACCGCCACCAGCCGAACCUGGAGCAGGUAGGAGGGGGUUCAAUGACAGGGCCACCGACGCCGAUGAUUUGAUUGCUUGUCACGUACACGGUUGUAUUGUGGAAAAACAUGGAGGCGGCCGCAUGAGAAUGACAGCUUGCGCCAAACCCAGUCGAUUCUGCACUCACCGGGUGGGUCCGGUUUGCACGCUCCGUCGCCUGCUUCAUCCUAGAGAGCACAUCUUGUAAUGCGGCUGCAAUGGGCUUGUCCGCCAUUGUGCUUGCACUACGUGCAAAGACUUGCACCCCGACCCUUCGCGAGCAAGAGGAAAAUAGAAGCGCCGUGGCCAUGCGAGGACUGCUUGCAAUUAGGUUGAUAUGUUGCGUGCUCAAUCAAGUAAGUUGCAGCACGAAAUGAGUUGCCAGGCUUUUAGAAUGCAAGUGUAUGCAUGGGCGCUGCACCGCCCUGGGUUGUCUUGGCAUGACACAGACCCAAUUCAUUGCGAGGAAAUGUUGCUUGCUGCUAUGAAAUGACGCACGCAUUGUUGUCAAUGUAACAACGAAAGACCACUGCACUUCGUGUGAAUGCGCGCUCGCUCCUUGGCAAAGCAAUUGCGCCAUCCGCUUUCAGCAGCAAUCGUGAGCUAUCCAUCGUUUCUAGGCUUUGCGCCACAGCGCGGUGCGUGCGUGGCGUCGCGCGGCGGUCUCGCGCCUCGCCAAACUUCAGCCGGCGGCACCUGUGGUGUCGCUGGCGCCCGGGAGGUUGCUUCCGCCGUGGCGACAUCGCCAGCCCUUUCCCUCGCGAGCCCACUGCGUGCCUCGCUCUUCAGCAGCUGCAGCAGCAGUAGCAGUAACAGUAGCAUGAUUACGACCGCUUGUGCCAGCACAAGCAGCGGUUGCAGUGGCAGUAGCAGCUUCCGGCACUGCAGCGCUACCAGACUGUGUGCAAUGCCCGGGGCCGGCACCAGUGCGGCAGCGGCGCCGGCCGCGAUGAGGGCUGUAGCAGCAACCAGCCCACUGCUACUGCCGCUGUCACGACUACCGCACAUGGCAGCUCGCCGCCACCGCGGCUCGUGCGGCUUCGGGGGAGGGACAGCAUCAGCAGCAGUAGCUGCGGCACGCCGUUCCCUGGCAACGGCAGUAGCAGCGCAGGCAGGGACAGGGGCAGGCUGGGUCGUGACAACCGCAGUAGCAACAGCAGCAUUCCCCUCGACAUCCUUGCGCACAUCAGCAUCCCCAGCUACAGCUGCAUCUACAGCAGCAGCUACAGCCGCCGCCGCCACUGGCUGUAGCGCCCGGCGGCUGCACACGGCGGCGCUGCGGCCGGGGCGGUGUGUGGCUGUAGCUGCCUCGCCCGCGUCAGCGGAUGCCGGCGGGGCUGCCACCGCGUCCUCACCUGCGGCGGUGGAGGUGGAGGGCCUGGGUGGCCUGAAGCGCCGGGUGCGUGUCAUGACAACAACAGCAUUCAUGUCGGCUGUGCGAUGCUGUCUGUGCCUCUGGGGCCCAAGCCACACCAACUUACGUCCCUGGCUCAGUGGUGAUUCCUCACUCACCUACCUCUCAUCCUCCUCCUCAGCUCCACACAGCUCUUCUUUCCUUCAUGCCUGUAUCCUCUUCUUGUCAUCCUCUUCCUCUGCACUUGUGCCUGCCCUCACCCGCCCCCUCCCCCCACCCCCCCCCCACCCCCAACACACACACACACACACACACACACACACACACACACACACACACACACACACACACACACACACACACGUGCAGGUGGCGGAGGCGCAGGCGCGCCUGUCCGAGGCGCGGGCGGUGGCGGACCUGCCCGGCUGCCGCGCCCGACUGGCGGCGCUGGAGCACGACGUGGCGGCGGCGGGCGAGGCGCUGUGGGCGCAGCCGGCGCGCGCACAGGCGCUCAUGAGCCAGAUCAACGUGCUGAGGUGGGGGAGGGGGGCUGGGGGGGGGGGUGGCGCUGGGCGCGUGGGUUGACACAACCAAACCGGGAAGCGCCGCGGGGUCCUCACUACUAAGCUGCCGCUUACAUGUGUAGGUUGUCAUGCGUGCACGCGCGCACGCGUGUGUGUGUGUGUGUGUGUGUGUGUGUUUGUUUGUUUGUUUGUGUAUGUGUGUGUGUGUUUGUUUGUUUGUUUGUUUGUGUGUGUGUGUGUGUGUGUGUGUGCGUGUGUGUGUGUGUUAAACAAAGAAUCAAACGGAACAAAAUUCCGCCAUACACGCGCGCGCAGUUACCAACAAAUACCGAUGCCGGUUACCGAGCUCCGCGUUUGUCGAUGUUGCCCCAGUUGUCACCUUGAGUAUACUCACCCGCAUACGUUGCCUGGAACCCCCUACCCGGGCGUUUGGCAUUCAGCCUCGUCUCCGAGGUGCGCCCGCAUGCGCUGCCAUGCUCCGCGUCGGCGACGCGCUACAACGUUUACCGGGCACGCCUAAUCCCCGACGUCUCGUCCACAGUCCAUAGCCAUUCUUACCUAUAAGCGAGAGAGAGAAGUAAAAGCAUAGGGCGGCAGCACAGAAGUGUCACGGGCAUGCAAAAUGGCAACGGUGAAGAGGGGCGGCGUGCAACAGGCAUGCUACCUAGCGACCUAACACACAUCCCACUAACUAUACGAAUGCCCGGAAAAAGGGGGGCGAGUCAGAGGCAACGAAGAAAUAAAUAUCGCUAGGCUGCAUAGGCGUCCGUGGCGGGCGGCGGUUAUGGAGCCGGGUAUGUAGCUAAUCAUGUGUGUGUGUGUGUGUGUGUGUGUGUGUGUGUGUGUGUGUGUGUGUGUGUGUGUGUGUGUGUGUGUGUGUGUGUGUGUGUGUGUGUGUGUGUGUGUGUGUGUGUGUGUGUGUGUGUGUGUGUGUGUGUGUGUGUGUGUGUGUGUGUGUGUGUGUGUGUGUGUGUGUGUGUGUGUGUGUGUGUGUGUAUGUAUGCGUGUGUCUGUUUGUUGGGGACUCGGUGGAAGGCGAUGGAAGGGCGCGGCGUGUGGCAGGACACACGUCCGCGUCCACUCAUUCACUCGCACACACACACGCAAGCUAACCCCAUGUGACACGUGACGUGUGACUUCAUGGCCCAGGUCGGAGAUUGGCGAGCUGGAGCGGUUCAGUGGCUGGGCGGAGGAGGCGGCGUUUGCGCUGGAGCUGCUUGAAGCCGAGGUUGGUGGGUUUGGUUUAAAGGGCAACCAAUACGUAUGUGCGUGGAUUAGACGCAGGAUUUUCUGUGACGGGUGCGUGACGGGUGCAUAUCUGCCACACGACAUUUGUCAGUCACCGCCUCGCCAUAAAACCCACACAGGGCGGCGGCGGCGGCUCCGGGGGCGCUGGCGGCGGUCUGGGCGGGGAGGCGGCGGGCAUUGCGGUGGAGGCCCUGGCGGCGCUACGGCAGCUGGCGGCGGGACUGGACAGGUGCGCGCGUGAAUGUGUAUGUGUGUGUGUGGGGGGGGGUGCGUGUAUGUGUGUGUGUUGCGUUUAUUGACCUCCCCUCAAGACAUGCACAUUCACGAAUGAUCCCUGCGCUCCUCGAUUACACACAUAUCACACAAAUCCACCCAAUCAUGCAUGCCACUCCACCCCCACACGGCUCCACCCCCCCCACACACACACCCCUCACAGCUGGGAGCUGCGGCGGCUGCUGUGCGGCCCCUACGACGACCGCGGGGCGCGCCUCACCAUCAGCGCGGGCGCGGGCGGGGUGGACGCCAUGGACUGGGCGGAGAUGCUGGAGCGCAUGUACAUGAGGUGCGUGUGUGGUGUGUGUGUGUGUGUGUGUGUGUGUGUGUGUGUGUGUGUGUGUGUGUGUGUGUGUGUGUGUGUGUGUGUGUGUGUCGGGGAGUUGCGAGGAUGUUUGGAAAAGCCGUACAGGAUGUUUUUUGGGGGGCUUGUAGAUACCAGCCGAAACUAAACCGACCCCAAUUCAAAAGAGCGAGGAGCAGAGCGUGGCCGAUGCCUUGACAACGGAGCGGCACUCAAUUCGGGGCUGGAUAAGGUUCUGCCACCAUUUCCAUUUCCAUUUCCAUUAGAGGUAUGCCCAUGCUCCUAGAAGGGCGCCAGCCGCAGGCUUUCCCCACAUCGAACCGCCGCCGCCCCCUUCCCCCUCCUCCUUCGUGUUCUGCUGUUCAGGUGGGCUGAGGCGGGCGGCUACCAGGUCGCGGUGCUGGACCGGGCGGCGGGCGACGAGGCGGGCGUCAAGAGCGUGGAGCUGGAGGUGGGAGGGGGCUAGGGGGAGAGGGGGUAGGGGGAAGGGGGGGAGAGGCUGGGGGUGGGAGGGCUGUGGAGAGGGCUGUGGGGGUGGGGGGGGGGGAGAGGGCUGUGGGGGUGGGGGGGGGAUGGGGUUACUAGAAGCAGAUCCCGGCAUGACGGCCACAGAGCGCUGGGCUGCACAGUGAAUGGGUCGGGGGAGGGGGGAAAGGCGGGAGGCUGGGGGGGGGCGGUGAGAUGGGUGGUGGGGAGGUGGCACGGCGGGAGGGGCGAUGGCCUGGGAUCAGGGGGAGUGAGGGCGACGGCCACGAUGCAGCCGGGGGCUGCACGAGUGGGCGAAAGCUCAAGGUCAGGGGGGAGGGUGCGCACUGGGACCCGUCUGAUGCCCCACGGCCCGCGCCCACCCUCCUGCGCGCCCGCCCUCCCGCACGCCAUCCAGCUCCAGAACAACUCUGUCCAUGUCCCUCCUCCCUCCUGGGGAUCUUGGGGCCAGUAAUGGUCUUAUGGUCUAUUUUGGGUUUUGGAAUGAACUACCCUCCCACUCCCUCUCUCUCCCCGCAGAUCACGGGCGGGCGUCACGCCUACGGCUACCUGCGCUGCGAGAAGGGCACCCACCGGCUGGUGCGCAACAGCCCCUUCAACGCCAAGGGGCUGAGGCAGACCAGCUUCGCGGGUGAGGGCAGUGAGUGGAGGGAGGGCAGUGGGGGGAGGGGAGGGGAGGGAGGAGUUGAGGGGGAGGGGAGGGAGCGGGGCCUGGCUCCUCGAAGCGAGCCCGCCAACUGCCAACUGCCUGACUGCCGCCGCCUGCCAGGUGUGGACGUGAUGCCGGUGCUGGGUCCCGACGACCUGCCCGAACUGGAUCUCAAUGAGAAGGACCUGGAGGUGUGUGUGUGUGUGUGUGUGUGUGUGUGUGUGUGUGUGUGUGUGUGUGUGUGUGUGUGUGUGUGUGUGUGUAGCCCAGACUCAAGGGGGAACGGGGGGCGGGGACGUGUGUGUUUUGGGUGGUGGGGCGUGUGUGUGUGAGGCGACACGUCUUCUUGGGUUGUCACAACCUCCGAUGGUGUCACCCCCAUGCGCCCGGUCCCACCACCCACCCAGCCUUGGCCCCACAAGCGCCACCACCACCCCAACCUCACCUGACUCUCGCCGCCACGCAACACCAGUGCAUCCUGUACCGCUUUCCCAAACAUCCUUGCAACCCCCAACCCCACGCCCCAACCCCCCAACCACUCGCCUUGCUGCCUCCUGAUUUCCCUGCUGAUAUCCUGUUUAACCUUGUAACCCUCAAACAACAACGAUUCCCAGAUCACGACAAUGCGCUCGGGCGGCAAGGGAGGACAGAACGUGAACAAGGUGGAAACAGGUGCGGGCGCGGACAGGCAGGCGUGACGGGGGUGGGCAGUAAUCAUCGGGGUGUGUGGAGUGAUCAUCAAAGUGGUUUUCAGGAUAGCUGUGCGCCCCUUGUCUGCCACGACCUCUUACCUCUGUGGCCCUUCGUUGAUACCGGUAUGAUGAGUGCAAGUGCAUUGAGAUGAAGGUGAAGUCAACCCCCCCCCCCAACACCACACCUGCUGUCUACUUCGCUACACUUCUCUGUACCAAUCCUUGCAACACCCCCCCCAUUUUGGGCUUGUAUUUACAACCACCCCCCACCAUUGGGUUCGGUUUAAUUUGGGCUGGCACACACCGCGUCACUCCUCGCCACUCCCUCCGCCGCCCCGCCCGCAGGCGUGCGCAUCCUGCACGUGCCCACCGGUCUGGCCGUCAAGUGCACCCAGGAGCGGUCGCAGGCGCAGAACAAGGCCAUUGCCCUGGACCUGCUCAAGGUGGGCGUGGGCGGUUGUGUGGGUGUAUGGGCGCGUGUGUGCACGUGUGUGCACCGCAUGUGCGUGUGCGCGCCUGUGUGUAUGUAUGUGUGUAUGAAGUUGUGUGGGGGGCGUGCGGAGGGGGCGUAGUUAUAAUCCAGCCAAGUAGGUUGGUGGAAGGUGUGCGCACGUACCGGAUGUAGGCCUUUACACCGCCCAAUGUCCUGUGGCCAUCACCUCUUUCGGCCCCUCGUUCGCCCGCCCCUUCGCCCCUCCCUUCCCCGCCCCCCGCCCCGCCGCCCCCCGCCUGCAGGCUCGGCUGCUGGUGGUGCUUCAGGAGCAGAACGCCAAACGGGUUGCGGAGAUCCGCGGCGACCUGGUGAAGGCGGAGUGGGGGCAGCAGAUCCGCAACUACGGUACGAGCGGCAGUAGCAGCAGCAGCAGCAGCAGCAGCAGGGCAAGGGGGAGUGGGAAGGGGAAGGCGGGCGGGGGGGCAGGGGGGGGGCAGGCAGGGGGGGGGCAGGCUGGUGGCAGGCAAACAGCCGUGAGCCGCCAAUGGAAGAAGCGGGGAGCCGGAUGGGAGCUGUCGCAGAUUGUAACACCCACGCACACCGUGUGCAGGGCUGCUGUGGUGAGGCUGCUGUCCUUGCGGCCCCACGGCCCCCACGCACCCCUCACGCACCAACACCCCACCCCUCCCCCGCCCCCACCUGCAGUGUUCCACCCGUACAAGUUGGUGAAGGACACGCGCACGGGGACGGAGACGUCGGACGUGCAGGUGCUGGGGGGAGGGAGGGGCGGGUAGUUUGGUUACCCCAACAAAUCUAAACCAAGACCCAGCCAGCCCACAGAGCACAGGGGGCCAUGUGACUACCAGCUCCAACCCCAUCCAUGCCGCUUUCCCGCCCACUCCCUGCCUUCCUAGCACACACACGCACACGCACACACACACACACACACACACACACAUACAUGGGCGGGCUUCGUUUUGUUGUUUUUUUCAACACACACCUUCUGCUCCCGCACUCACACCCGCACUCACACCCGCACUCCCUCCCCCCCCUUUUCGCCCCCUCGCCCCCUCGCCCCCCCCCCUGGCCCCCAGGCUGUCAUGGACGGCGAGCUGGGCGGCUUCAUGGCGGCGGUGCUGCGGCAGCGCGGCCGACAGGCGGUGGGCGACAGCCUGGCGGCAGAGCCCUAGGGAGGGCGGUGGGCGACAGCCUGGCAGCAGAGCCCUAAGGAGGGCGGUGGGCGACAGCCUGGAGGCAGAGCCCUAGGGAGGGCGGUGGGCGACAGCCUGGAGGCAGAGCCCUAGGGAGAGCCUGGAGGCAGAGCCCUAGGGAGGGCCAGUGGGAGGGCUGUAGAGGGCUAGCAGGCCUAGAGGCCGUAGGGGCCACAGGCAGCACCGCCCUAAAGGCCAGGCUCUCGCCCACACUCUCUGCACAGAGUGCGUGAGAGUCGGGUCGGCACAAGCCUGGGACUACCGUAAAGCAGCUCUGGCGAGUGGGCGCCCCGGGCAGCAGCGCAGCACGGCAGCAGGGCAGCAGCGCAGCAGGGCAGCAGGGGCGCAGUGCGCCAGGGGCCCGGGGCUGUGGGCGCGGGGGGCAGUGCCUGCUUGUGUUCCUCAUGAGAAGUGGCGAGUGAGUGGUCAUGCUCGGGAUUCAGGAAGGCUAGGUAGCUGUCGGGGGUGCUGCUGUCAGCUGUAACUGGGAUGGGGCGUGGUGGUGGCACCCAAUCCCGUGGUGGCGCCGCGGUGGGCUGGCGGGCUUCGGGGCUUGGUAGGUGGUCCCUUCAUCCCUUGCCGCCGUGUUGCCUGGGUGUAUGUUGGUGUGCGAUGGGACAGGGUUAAGGCAGGUUGGUGAAGUCCCGUAGGCUGCAGCUGAUUCCCAGACCCCAACAGAUGGCAAACAAUUGAGUGUAGGUCGGUGAGGAGUGCCGCAUGCACGUCGCGGUCGUGUGCUAGGUAGCAGAGAAGUAGCAGCAGGGGAUGACCGUGUACAAGAAGGCACUGUGAAAGAGCAGAACCAGCUUGUGCAUCACGGCAGUCGCGCGUCGCGCGAUUGCGCGCCGCGGCCUUCCGGCGGUCUGGCGGUCUGUGGCGGAGUUGUGCUGCGGCGCGUCCGGGUGGCUUCUGUUUUUAAGGCGUUCAGAGUCCGCAGUACGCAUCGUUGCACCCACCCUUUCGUGUUCCGUAUCAGGCAACCAGACAUUCACAUCGUGUCCGUGUCAGCAGCUACUAAAGGGAAAGCAGAUCAGACGCAAGAGUUCGCAACCCGCUCCGAUCAUCCAGUGUGCUCCGUUGCCUCCCGUCCGGUCCGGUGUCAUUGUUUCCGCGCCGCCGCGAGUUUCGCACUCCGACACACUCCAGACUGUUUCCCACACCGCAGUGCCUACCAGCACGUAUGACGCAGUCCACCAGCACGUAUGACGCAGUCCACCAGCACGUAUGACGCAGUCCACCAGCACGUAUGACGCAGUCCACCACACGCGCCACUCGGGUUCCUGCCCCCACCCCCACCGCCCCCGCUUCCCGGUCCCUGAACAGCUCACGAGGUCGAGAGGUCCCCUCGUCAGCCAGCCGCGCCUGCAGGCCGCUCCCCCGCAACAACUCCUACAACGCAGAUACACACACACACACACACACACACACACACAAGCACACACACACAGACACAUUUGCUGCAUCGCAUACACUGUCUUUGCGCAAUGUUUUCCUUGUGCUCUUUAACACAAGCACACACACACGCUCGAUCCCUGGCGACCGUGCCCCUGGACCUGUUCCACCGCGCAAACCCCCCCCGGCGGCGCUACUGCCGACACGCGGGCGGGGCCAGGGCCGGGCCCAGGGGCGGACUCAGGGGUUAACACGUCACCGCCGCCGCUGCGCCGACACGGCCCGCCGCUGCCCCAUCGCUGCCGCCGCCGCACCCCUCAUCCCAGGCGACAUGCCGCCCGCGUACUCCCCCGCCGCGCCGCCCCCGCCCCCGCCCGCGCCCCCGCCACCUCGGCCGUACGCCCCUGCUGCACCGGCCGCGGCGCCGGCACGCGCCCACGGCGGAGCCGGGCUGCCGCCUCCUCCUCCUCCGCCUCCCCCGCCUGCGCCUCCCCCGCCGCCUCCUCCGGCGCCGCCUCCGGCGUAGGGUGCGGCGUACUGCUGCAGGGGCGGGGGCGGCGAGGCCGAGUGCGGUGCCAUCCAUAUCAGGCCCUUGUCGUCCUUCUGCAUGGGGGGAGGGGGCAGAGGGUGGAGGGGAAGGGGGGAGCAGUGAAUAUGAUGAUGGGGCAGGGGGGGAGGGGAGCAAGAAUGAGGCGCCAGGGGUGAAGCAAGCGCGCAGCAGGGCUGGCUCAGGUCUUCAGGGCAGUAGGACACGGGGGUAUUGUGCCCGCAGUGGUCUCCUUGCCGUCUCCCCAGCCACCAGCAUCCACCCCUCCCCGCCGCACGUGUCCAACCCCUGUGUGCCCCUNNNNNNNNNNNNNNNNNNNNNNNNNNNNNNNNNNNNNNNNNNNNNNNNNNNNNNNNNNNNNNNNNNNNNNNNNNNNNNNNNNNNNNNNNNNNNNNNNNNNCACCUUGUCCCAGGGCGCCUCCACCUCGUGCCGCCCCCGCUCAGCCCGCCGCACCACCCGCCACUGGAACACAGCCCGGUCCUUGCCGCCCACAGACACCUGCGGGGGGGGGGGCAGCCGUUCAUUGAGUAUCAAGAAUGUAAACGUCGACGCCCAGGGGGGAAGGUAGCCGUCAUGUGAAGAACGGAGGGCAUAUAUCACCAGUAUUGCGGGCGGAGAGGCGCAGGGGGGGGGGGCAGGUGAGAGUGAGCGUGAAAGGGACAGAGGUCGGGGAGGGGGAAUGCGACAUGGGGGUUAGAAGCGUGCAGGUGUGGAGCGGGUCCUUCCCUCUCUGACCUCCCUCCCCGACUCCUUCCCCCCUCCCCUCCCUCUCACCGCGUAGCUCUCGUCCGCCGCCCAGCGCACGUUCAUCACGUGGCUGCAGUGCCCGCCGUACACGUGCGCGGGGGCGCCCGCCACCACACAGGGGAAGUGGAGCAGCCGCACGUGGCCGUGGUCGUCGGCAGUCAGAACGUAGCGGCCUAGGGGGAGGGGGGUUUGGCAGGGCGGGAGAGGGUAAUUGAAUUGGAAUCGGAAUUGGAAGGAGGGGGCGUUGUGUUAAUUAUGGGGCGUUGCCGACGAGAGCUGGGUAUGGGAAAGCAAAGGGAGAGCCCCGUGCGGUGUGCAUUAGCGGGGCAGGGGGCAGGUGCAUAAGUGGGAGGGAGGCAGGGAGGGAGGGGUGUGCUCGAGCCCACUGGAGCGAGGGGUGGGGGUGGGUUGUAAAUACCAGCCCAAACUAAACCAAACCAACGAAAACGAGCGGAGCACAGGCAGAGGCGUGAGUUGCAAGCGAUAAUACUUAAGGGAUGGGGGCCGAGGCGUCGUGGAGCAGCAGGGCGAGCGGCGCCGGCGAUAAAUGUCGCCGCCCGGGCUCGGUGGCGCGCACAACAGCACAGGACAGGCACGCGGACGCGACAAGCAAAACCCACGACUUACCUGGCGACCACCCACCCACCCACCCCUCACCCCCUCGUUUUCGUUGGUUUUGGUUUAGUUUCGGCUGGUAUUUACAACCCCUCCCUCACCCACCCACCCCACCCCUCACCCCACCCCCAACCCCCUCACCCACUCCCUCACCCACCCACCCACCCUCACCCACCCACCCCACCUACCCACCCCACCCCCACCCCCUUCACCCACUCCCUCACCCACCCACCCACCCUCAUCCAUACCACACCCUCCGCCACCCCCCAACCCCCUCACCCACCCGCCCCCUCCCCUCAGCCGCCCACCCACCCGAGGGCGAUGCAUGCACGGAGUUGAUGUCAGUGCCGUCACUGUCGGGGAACCAAAUGCCCAUGACCGGAAACCCCUGUGUGUGUGUGGGGGGGNNNNNNNNNNNNNNNNNNNNNNNNNNNNNNNNNNNNNNNNNNNNNNNNNNNNNNNNNNNNNNNNNNNNNNNNNNNNNNNNNNNNNNNNNNNNNNNNNNNNNNNNNNNNNNNNNNNNNNNNNNNNNNNNNNNNNNNNNNNNNNNNNNNNNNNNNNNNNNNNNNNNNNNNNNNNNNNNNNNNNNNNNNNNNNNNNNNNNNNNNNNNNNNNNNNNNNNNNNNNNNNNNNNNNNNNNNNNNNNNNNNNNNNNNNNNNNNNNNNNNNNNNNNNNNNNNNNNNNNNNNNNNNNNNNNNNNNNNNNNNNNNNNNNNNNNNNNNNNNNNNNNNNNNNNNNNNNNNNNNNNNNNNNNNNNNNNNNNNNNNNNNNNNNNNNNNNNNNNNNNNNNNNNNNNNNNNNNNNNNNNNNNNNNNNNNNNNNNNNNNNNNNNNNNNNNNNNNNNNNNNNNNNNNNNNNNNNNNNNNNNNNNNNNNNNNNNNNNNNNNNNNNNNNNNNNNNNNNNNNNNNNNNNNNNNNNNNNNNNNNNNNNNNNNNNNNNNNNNNNNNNNNNNNNNNNNNNNNNNNNNNNNNNNNNNNNNNNNNNNNNNNNNNNNNNNNNNNNNNNNNNNNNNNNNNNNNNNNNNNNNNNNNNNNNNNNNNNNNNNNNNNNNNNNNNNNNNNNNNNNNNNNNNNNNNNNNNNNNNNNNNNNNNNNNNNNNNNNNNNNNNNNNNNNNNNNNNNNNNNNNNNNNNNNNNNNNNNNNNNNNNNNNNNNNNNNNNNNNNNNNNNNNNNNNNNNNNNNNNNNNNNNNNNNNNNNNNNNNNNNNNNNNNNNNNNNNNNNNNNNNNNNNNNNNNNNNNNNNNNNNNNNNNNNNNNNNNNNNNNNNNNNNNNNNNNNNNNNNNNNNNNNNNNNNNNNNNNNNNNNNNNNNNNNNNNNNNNNNNNNNNNNNNNNNNNNNNNNNNNNNNNNNNNNNNNNNNNNNNNNNNNNNNNNNNNNNNNNNNNNNNNNNNNNNNNNNNNNNNNNNNNNNNNNNNNNNNNNNNNNNNNNNNNNNNNNNNNNNNNNNNNNNNNNNNNNNNNNNNNNNNNNNNNNNNNNNNNNNNNNNNNNNNNNNNNNNNNNNNNNNNNNNNNNNNNNNNNNNNNNNNNNNNNNNNNNNNNNNNNNNNNNNNNNNNNNNNNNNNNNNNNNNNNNNNNNNNNNNNNNNNNNNNNNNNNNNNNNNNNNNNNNNNNNNNNNNNNNNNNNNNNNNNNNNNNNNNNNNNNNNNNNNNNNNNNNNNNNNNNNNNNNNNNNNNNNNNNNNNNNNNNNNNNNNNNNNNNNNNNNNNNNNNNNNNNNNNNNNNNNNNNNNNNNNNNNNNNNNNNNNNNNNNNNNNNNNNNNNNNNNNNNNNNNNNNNNNNNNNNNNNNNNNNNNNNNNNNNNNNNNNNNNNNNNNNNNNNNNNNNNNNNNNNNNNNNNNNNNNNNNNNNNNNNNNNNNNNNNNNNNNNNNNNNNNNNNNCAGGGCGGGGGGGGGGGCUAAAAUAUGAUUAAGAAAGAAUUGAAGGUGCGGUUGGGUUUGUAGAUACCAGAUUACCAGCCCAAACUAAACCAAACCGGGGGCAUGGGUAACUUGUUGCACAACCCCGUCCUCCGUCCUCCUGUUGGCGCCCCAACCUCCGGCUUUUUGGGCGAGGCGACGAUUCCUUGGCCAUUGGGACCUGCCCCGAUGGGCUUGACCUUCCUCCCCCCUCCCUCCCACCCCGCCCACCUUGCGUGUGGCCGAGCUCCACACGGUGACGCAGUCGCUGUCGCAGCAGGUGGCGUACACGUGCGGGAAGGCGGGGUUGGUGGCCAGGCCGUACAGGUCGGCCUGGGGGGAGAGGGAGAGAGGAGGGAGGGGAGAGGGGGGGGGCGUGUGUGUGUAUGUGUGUGUAGGGCGGGGGAGGCGGCGCGGCAAACGGCAGACGCAGCUGCAAAGCGAGUUUCCACGUCACGUCAUUCCUCCGGUACUGCCAGCUGCCGAGUGGGCUAGCUUUAGCGCCCAUAUGCUUGGCGGCCCGGUCACACACCACCCUCCACACUACUGACUCACUCACACCCACCGACCUCCCCCCUUUCAUACUUGCGAUUUUAUCACUCCGUUCUCUACAUGAAGGGCCACCGCCCCAUUCCCCCAACCCCACCCUACCUGUUGCCUGUACACCAGCACCUCAAUCUCCCCCACAACCACUCCUCCCCACGCCACCCACACCUGUUGGCCGUACACUCACAUCGCCCCACCCAACUCCUCAUUUCCCCCCUACCCCUCCUCGGUCUUUUGCGUUGGGUUCGGUUAAGUUUAGGCUGUACUCACACCCCCCCACCUGUUGGCCGUACACCAGCACCUCGGGGUCCUUGUCCACCUCCCACACGUCACAGCUGGCCACGCCUGAGCGGUGGGGGGGGGGGGUUACACUCAUGAUUAAUUAAGAAGUGAAGGCGUAGCCAGGGGGUGGGGAGGGGGUGGGGGAGGAGNNNNNNNNNNNNNNNNNNNNNNNNNNNNNNNNNNNNNNNNNNNNNNNNNNNNNNNNNNNNNNNNNNNNNNNNNNNNNNNNNNNNNNNNNNNNNNNNNNNNNNNNNNNNNNNNNNNNNNNNNNNNNNCCACACACACACACACACACACACACACACACACACACACACACACACACACACACACACACACACACACACACACACACACACACACACACACACACACACACACAUACACAAACACACAGAGACGCGGCAACAUAACGCUCGGUCAUUGGUAGGUAUCCGCAAAUAACUCCGGCGAUUUUGUUGCUUUAACCAAGACACACCCACAGCCAGAGCCCUACCCGCCACGAACAUCUCGGGUAUGUCGGGGGCGCAGUCCAGGCCGCGAAUGGCGGGCGGCGUGGUGGUGCCCACCUGCGACGGUGGGGAGGUGGGGGUGGGGGUGGCGGUGGGGUUGGUGGUAGCGGUGGUGGUGGCAGCCGUGGUGGUGGCAGCCGUGGUGGUCGUACAUACGGUCAUACAUGAGCGUCCGUCGCUGCUGCUCCCCGACGCCUCGGCCCACAUCCCAUAAGUAUUAUCGCUUGCAACUAACGCCUCUGCCUGUGCUCCGCUAGUUUGGGCUGGUAUUUACAACCCCCUCCGAGCUGGCCGCGGCAGCCCGGACGGCCGCUCAUUCGGCAACGACCUCGUCUGCAGUCUCCAGUGCAUCCUGUACCGCUUUUCCAAACAUCCCUGCAAAGCCCCACCUCCCGUCCGUCGCCACCGCCGCCCUCCUCUGCCCCUUCGCUCCCACACCUGGUCUGGCCGCAGCAGUGGGAAGCGCCGCAGCAGUGGCCCCAGGUCGCCACUGGACACGUCCCACACGUGCACCGCACUGUGUAUGUGUGUGUGUGUGGGGGGGAGAGGGAACAAAGAGGGGCGGGGAGAAGCACGGAGGUAAAAGCAUGGGGGAGGGAGGGCGUGUGUGACGGUUCAUUAGGAUGAAGCUGGGUGGGUGUGUUAUGUGUAAGAAUGGUUGUGUGUAAGCGUUGUGGCCGUGGUUGGGAGGGCGAGGAGAGGAGCAGGAGGAGGCGGGAGGGGGAGGGGGGAGGGGCCAGGGGGUGACCGUGCAUGCCAGGUGUGGAGGUGUCGUGCAAGCAGUACAUUCACGGCCCCUAGCCAGCCGUGCACAGCGGCCGCAACCGCCCCCUCCCGCCAAAGGGAAAGGCUGCUCCCUCGCGCUCUGUGGGCCUUGGUUCAGCUGGAUCUGAACAAAACUAUCCCCCCAUCGAAAAAGUCACCUCCUGCCCACCGCUCCCCCUCCGCCCCUGUCCCAAUCCCCACCCACCCACCCACCCACCCGCCCAGGCCAACCCACCCACCCGUCCGCGCCGCCGCUGAGCAGCACUGCAUCGCUCUGCAGCACCAGCGCCCUCACGCCGCCGUGGCUGGGUUUGCCGUCGGGGCGGCGGGUGGGCGGCCCUGCGCCGUGCGCCUGCGUCUCACGCGACAGCCGCACCCCCUUCCAGGUGCAGAUGCAGCCCGACUCGUUGCCUGGGGGGUUUUGCGCGGUUUGGAUUGGCAACGGGGUUUGGGGGGUUGGGGUGUCGGUACGGUGGUGGGGGUAAGGGCGGCGUUUGGGAGCCCGUGAGGGCCCACCUCGAGUCCCAAAGAGGCGGCAGCAUGCAAGCACUGACGACCGCCCACGUGCGUUUCAUUUUCACCACCCACCCACCCACCCAAACGCACGCACGCACGCACGCACCCACCCACCCACCCACCCACCCAUCCCCGCCCCCACCCACCCACACCCACCCACCCACCCACCCACCCCCACCCCCACCCCACCCCCACGCACGCACCCGUGAGCACGACGCCGCUCCUGAGGAACACGGCGCCCGUGACCGUGUGUGUUUUGCCCAGACUGUACAUGCCCGCCUCGCUGAUGGGGGACAGGGCGGCGGGGUUGCGCGGGUCGGGGCCAAGGCGCCAGAACUUGAUGUGGUUCUGGCCGUACGUCACUAGCCUGUGGGCGUGCGUGUGUGUGGGGUUCCAAACAUGAUGGGGGGACGUGCUCAAUAGGGAAGCAGAAGAUUAUUUGGUCUUGUGCGAUGUGCUUGUAUGUGCAUGUCAAGGCGUGCUCCCAUGGCUCCUUGAGCCACGCUGCCAUUCCCCCUCUGAAGCCAACAUCCCUCCCUCCCUCUCUCCCUCCCUCCCUCCCUCCCUCCCUUCCCCCACUUCGCAUUGGGUUCUGAGUAGUUUGGGCUGGUACCUACAACCCCCCUCCCUUCCCUCCCUCCCUCCCUCCCGCUCACCUGUCCGGCUCGUACUUGCUCCACACCACGCCGUACACGGCCGGCGGCGCGCCCGGCUGGCUCUUGCGCGGCUGGCACAGCGGCCGCGCGCGCGCCCAGUCCCACAGGUGCAGGCAGUGGGAGUUGUCGGUGGCGACGGCGGCCAGGCGGGAGCCGUCGGGCGAGAAGGCCAGGGCCUGAAUGCCGCGGUCGUCUCGGCUGGGGUGAGGUGGGGUGAGUGGGGUGGGUGGGGUGUGGGUGUGGGGUGUGGGGUGUGGGGUGUGGGGGUGGGGUGUGGGUGUGGGGUGGGGGGAGUGGGUGAGGGGUGAGGGGGUGCCGGGGUGGUUGGGUUGUAUGUACCAGAUCAAACUAAACCAAACGAGCGAGGGGCACAGGGAGAUUCUGUGCUCGAGCCCACAGAAGAAGGUGCCAAGAGUCAAGGAAUCUUCGCCCGGGGGAAGGAGUGGGUGGCGUUGCAAAGAUGGUUGGAACAGCGGUACAGGACCUCGUGCGGGGGGAGGUCGGCUGAGUUGGGGCUGGUACUUUAACCCCCCCCCCCCCCCCACACACACACACACACGCCCACCUGAAGGGCAGCCUGGCGAUCUGGCGGCACGUGACGCUGUCCCACACGCACACGCACGGGCUCCUGCGGGCCACAGGGGCAGGGCAGGCAGGCAGGCAGGCAGGCAGAGCUAUCAGGCAGGAAGGCAGGCAGGGCAGCGCAGAGCGGUCAGGCUGUCCGUCCGUCCGUCCGUCCGUCCGUCAGGACAGGUGUGUCAACCGCCCGACCCCAGCAGCGAAAUGGGGCCCAUCCUCCUCACUGGCCGGCAGGCCCCGCCCUCAGCCCCUCGCCCUCCGCCCCGCCCCGCCCCUCCGCCCCACCCUUCAGCCCCCGCCCCUCCGCCCCUUGCCCUCCGCCCUCCGCCCCGCCUCACUUGCCCAGCUGCCCCGUGGCCACAGUGGUGCGGUCGGGGUGUAUGGCGGUGCACAACACGUCGUCGUCGUGGCCCAGGAAGAAGCGCUGUGUGUGUGUGAGGCGGGGCGGGCGGGGGAAGGGGAGGGGAGCGGGAAGGGGGGUUGGGAGGGGGUUGGAGGAGGAGGCGGAGGAGGGGUUGGGGGAGGAAGCGAUCGCAGGGGGGAGGGGGUGUUAUGUUCCCGAGCCCACAUGGCGAUGACACAAACCCAAGAUCCAGCGCAGACAUGCCCACCAUCGUUCCAUCGUACAAUGUUUAUUUCCACUGUCUCGCUAAACACGUGAUUUGCAACAUCGGCACACACCCACACCCACACCCACACACGCUCACCCACCUGCGUGUGCUGCUGCUUGUUGUAGACCACCCCCACGCCCGCCACAUUGUACACCACCUCGCCCGAGGCCGUGUAGAAGAUGUUGGGCGCCGUGGCGAUGUGGCUGCAGCGUGUGUGGUGGCGGUGUGUGUGUGGGGGGGGGGCAGGGACGGUGGAGGAGAGGGUGGGGGGAGGGAUGGUGGUGGCCGUGGUGGUGAUUGUGGCACUCGUGCGAUGACGCAGGCGAGGGCGAGGUGUCCCUUCCCGCCUUGUCUCCGCCUUGUCCCCCGCCCCAGCCGCAUCCACCCUUAUCAGCCCUCAGCCACCCGCCCACUCGCCCACCCACCCUCACCCCCCGCACCCCCUCACCCUCACCCGUCGUAGCCGUGCACGAACUCCAGCGCCAGGCGCACAUCGGGCGGGGUGGCGGAGCGCUCGGCCAGGCGGGGGUCCCAGUUGCUGGGCGGCCACACGCCCUGUGUGUGUGUGGAGGUGCGGGGGGGGGGGGGGUGCGUGACAUCCCCCCUUCCCCUUCGCUCUCCUUGCAAUUUUGCAUUGGGUUCAGUUUACUCCAUUUCUUUUUCGCCAAGCUUUGCAUUGGAUUCUACAACAGGAUUGCCGUGCAGAAGGAUAGCCUAGCUCACGAUGCACUAAUUGAUGAAGUACAAGACGCGUUAGUACACCCAGAGGGAGAUGGGUGGUGUGCACGGCUUUUCCGUUUUAUCUCAGCGCAUGGCGUAGACGUAUGGCAAGGCCGUAUGCACAUGAUCAGGCCGGAAAGGGAGGAGAGCCGAGCAGGUAGCCCGCUGCCUGAAGGGCAAAUAGUAUCCGCCUUUCGAGAGAGUCUAAUGAAGGCGUGGAAGCACGAGCGGCUGCAGUCUGAGCCAAGCACUUUCCCAUCAGACAACAAGCAACCAGGCGUGCAGAUGAGCAAGUACAAGCAUUGGAUGGGGCUGUGUGCGGAAGGAGCGGCACCACUGACCAUGCAAGGGCACAGUAGAGCAUUUAUACCAGUUGCGCACCACAAGGCCUUGAUGAGGUUCCGCCUAUGCUGCUGGCCGCUUACUGCCAACCGCGCCUAUGGACGACCUAGGGAGGAGAGGAUUUGCCCGCUAUGUGUUGCAAAUGAAGUCGAAGAUGAGAAUCAUGUGCUCAUGCGGUGUACGGCCUACGACCAGUUGCGUUUGGGUAGCGAGAUCGAUUUUACAGGCGGAAUGCAGGCCGUCAUGCAGAAUGCGGACCCAGCCAGGUUAGCCGCGUUACUAGAUUCCAUUUGGGAGCACAGGAGCAUAAGCACCCCCAUUCGGGGACCAAACUAGCUGCAUAUAUAAGUGUUGCAGGCGUUAUAAGGGCCCCCCGGCCCGGGCCUAGGUUUCUACAAGGACAGGAAUGCACGUCGUGCUCACCACCUUGUAACCACACACAACAGUUUAGUUUGGGCUGGUAUCUCCACCCCCUCGCCACCCCAUACACGCCACCGCCUCCCCACCUUCUUGCACUCGGGGUACAGUAUCUUGCCGGUGUGUGUGGCGGGCUUGCCGGGCAGGUAUGCGCCCCUCUGCACGCGCCCGCCCUCCGCCGCCGCCAUGUCCAGCCGCGGACCGCCCAUCACCAGCGCGUCCGUGAAGUUCUGUGUGUAUGGGGGGGAGGCAAGUGCGAGUGUGUGUGCGUGUGUGUGUGUGUGUGUGUGUGUGUGUGUGCGUGUGUGAGGCAAGUGCGAGUGUGGGUGUGUGUAGUGGAAGAGCGCAAGGAAAGACAAUGCGCGAGAGGACAGUGUAUGUGAUGCAGAGUUACGGCUGCGGCUUACCGAGGGCGAGGGCGAGUGCGUGUGUGGGUGCGAGUGCUUGUGCGAUUGUGUGAGUGGCCGUGCGUGUGGGUGCGUGAGUGCUGCCUUGGCCCGUGACUGCGCACUAUACACGCCUUCAACCCGCACCGGCACCUGCACCCGCACCUGAUUGCUCUCUCCUUUGCUUCGUGCUUCUGAAGUACGGCAACACACAUCACUUCACACAACCUUACACCGUACACACACAUACGCAUACACACACACAUCACACACAAACACACAAGCACAGUCACACCCACGCGCACCCACGCAUGACUCACCAGUACGGGCAUGAGCCCGCGCGCGUCGCGGCCGUACUUGUCGAAGAAGGCGGCGGUGAGGUCGGGCGGCAGCGCCAGGCCGAAGCGCGACCACACCGUGGCGAACUGGGCCGGGGUCACCUGUGUGUGUGUGAGGGUGUGUGUGUGUGGGGGGUGUAUGGGCGGGCGCAGCACGACACGGGGGGGGGGGAGAGGGGAUGGGGCUUGGGUCACAGGCGGGAGGAAGGUACACCGCCGAACCCACACAUCAACAGUUUCGCCACCCGGAGUACCCGCCCACGUCCCCGAAUACCCCUGUCAUCACCGCCUCCACCCCUCGCCCUCUACCCCUCUAGACCGCCGCCGCUUCCCACCCCUGUGGGACUGGGAUGAGCACCCACACACCCAGCACACUCUCCCCUUGUGCUUGCCUUACACACACACACACACACAAUACACACACACGCACUCGCCUUGUCCCGCGGCCCCAGCUCUGGGUGCCUCUUGCCCAGCUCGGUGGCGAAGGCGCGCAGCAACACGGUGCGCUCCUUGAUGUGCACCUGGAGGGGAGGGGGGGGGAGGGGGUUACAUUUAUGACUAGUCAAGGAAGUGGUAGACGGUAGACCACCGCGGGGGGGGGGGGCGGGGGCAUUAUAUGCAUGAUCAUUUAAGAAGUGAAGGCGCAGGGGCAGGGGGCUGCAAGCAUUGGUACAGGGGGAGGGGGCUGUGUAUCUCAGCCCAAGCGAAUCGAGCCCGAUGCCAUGCAAAAGAGCGAGGAGGAGAGCGUGGCCUGUGCUUUGAUGACGGAGUGACACUCGACAAGGUGGGGGGGGGGCAGGUGGGGGCGGGAGCGUGCGUGCAUGCAUUGGGCAAACCACAGCGAUAGCAUGUUCGGCUCUAGUCGCAUCGCCCCCACCUGCUAUAUCGCAAUAGCGCAACCCCCACCCGUCUCGCGGCGCCCCUCCCCGCUCGCCCCGACACGUCCCCAAUGCCAAGACACGCCCAAGCAGCCGGCCCGCCCGCCUACCGCCCACCGCCUUGCCAGCCAUCCGCAAAUCCCGCCCCGGGCCCCCGGCCCCCUUCCGCCGUCGUGCGUGGACGGCUACUCCCCACCCCCUUCGUUGAGCUUGGGCGUACAACCCCACCCCGAACCCCUCCCCGCCUCACCCACCCCAACCCCCAAAACCUCUCCCCGCCUCACCAGCCCCCAGCUCCCAGCGUCUGGCUUUCCUAGUGGGAGUCAGUAAAACGCCUCCCCCCUCGCCCCCACCACCCCGCCUCACCGCCUCACCGCGUCACCGCCACCCAUCUCUGCCCCCUGAUUGCCCUUCCCCAAAGACUGCCUACCGUCUACCGUUUCCUAAUCAUAACUGCACCCCCCCCCCUCACACGCACACGCACACACCCCCCGUCUACUGUUUCCUUACGGGAUUGGUUCAACAUUAACCCCCCGCCUCACCGCCGCCGCCCGCCUGAGUGUGUCCCGCAUGACCUCCUCCAGCUCCGCCACCUUGGGCAGCAGAGCCACCGUGCUGGGGGCAGGGCCCACGCCGCCCACCACACCUCCACCUCCCCCUCCUCCUGCUGCGCCGCCGCCCGCCACCCGGCCCCGCCCCGGCGGUGCGCUGCUGGGCCGCGCGCCGCGGCCGACUCCGGCGGGAGCGGGCGAGCCGCCUCCUCCCCCUCCGCCCCCGCCUCCGCCGCCGCCACCCCCUGGGCUGUCCACGAUAUGGAACACGCCCGGCCGGAUCUCCACCUGCGUGCGUGCAGGCACCGUGCGUGGUGUGAAAGGGCGUUUUCCAGGGUUGGGAACCAGGUUCUCCAGCCCAAGCCCACUAAGCCCAAAGCCCAGUAAACCCCAAAGCGCCGAGGUCCCACGACGUGCCCCAGGCGACGUGCCCUAGUAGGCCUGCCCCGCCCCCGACUGGCUCUCACCCGCGCCCCCUUGGCUGGCGAGCGGUAGGCGUUGUGCAGCCCGUACGGCGUGCCUGUGUGUGUGUGUGUGUGUGUGUGUGUGUGUGUGUGUGUGUGUGUGUGUGUAUGUAUGGAGGGGGGGCGCACCCGCACGGAUGUGGUAUUUGGGAGGUGCGGGACGGCCGGUGCACGGGCACCUGCGGCUGCGAGCGUCGCCGCCCCUUUCACCCCACCUUCGCGACCCUGAGCCCUGCUGCAAGUACGGCAGUGGUGCAGUCCCCAAUGGCGGACAAGCGGUGGCAGCAUCCAGUGGCAUGGAUCCAAAGCCGUGGGCGCGAUCCCGCCCUGCGAUGCCACGCCCCCCACCCGUCCCUCUGGAUCCAGACGCACCCUGGGCUUUGGGGUCCCAGAACAGCGGCCCCCCGGCAACGGGCGGCGGCGGCGCCUGCAGUCAGGUAAGUAUUGCCGGUGGUCACGGGAGCACCGUACUCGGGAGGACACUGUGACUUGGGAGUGGAACUGUCGCCAUCCGCGAGAGGGUUUACGCCACGAGGCGACUGCGUGCUAGCAGCAAUGCCUCUCGUCCCACACUCCCUCCCACUACGGGCUGGGCCUCCCGGGCUGUCACAGCCGGUCACACGCCGCACCUGUGCUGGGCAGCCCCGCCCUCCACGCCCACGCCCACGCCCACGCCCACGCCCACGCCCACGCCCACGCCCACGCCCAUCACCCAAACGCCUCCCCCGACCUGCCCCUGCACAGCCCACCACACCUCUUGCCGAGGGUUCGCAGCUCGCCGCUCCCGAUAGCCUGCCUGCACCUCCAAGGCCCUCGCGGAGGGAGCGCGCGCGAUGGCAUUCAGCUCCCGCUGGUCCCUGUCGCCGUAGCUGGCCUUCAGGAUUCUGUCCAUCCUAAAGUUGUGUCUCAAAGUAAUCUAUGUGGGCAACAGUCAACGUCAGGUGUAGUGCCCAUGUCGCCCGCGGCAGGCGGACGCACGCCUGUCAGCAUGAAUUCUUCAGUUGUAAUGCAUAAGCGACAUAGCAGAACUAUAACUAGCUACAAAGCUUUGAUGUUGACAGUCAACUUGAACAAUGAAUGCUGACUUUAUGAGAGCGUCGGGGCCCUCCUUACAAGUCGGAUUAAUGACGAUAGACUACAAGUAACUUCCCACAAAUAAGGACGUGCAAAUGAGCUGGUUUCACGCAAUCGCGCCCACACGUACCCGGAGGACGCUACCCGCCCUCGUCGCCCCUGCUCCCACUGCCUUGCCUUGCCAACAUACAUUUCUCUGCUUGCUUCGCCACCUACUUCUAAAUACCAUGAUAUCCUAUCCUCCGCAUUUGUCGUGGGUUUGCGUGACCUGGCGUGACAGGUGAGUCGGUGGCGGUGACGCUGUGCCUAUCCCUUCAUGGUUAUCUGUGCAGCGUGCUGUGGUGGAGUGCACCUACGACUCUACCGUUCGACUACACUUAGCACCAAUUGACUGUUUCAGAGACACGGAGUGACACAAGAGCCGCUCGCGAAAGUUGACAAGUCUAACGUUGCUGUGCUGCAAGUCCCUUGUCCCAUCGCCCUCCCCAUUAAGACACGAGGUUAGCGUUCAAGCAUUUGUGUAUCUUUACAUCUCCGCUUGCUCUCGGCUCCACUCCAAACACAUCUGAACUCACUCACAGGUCCACUCCUCAGUGACCGAAACCGGUGGUGCUCGGAGCACCUACUGCCGCUUGCUGUACACUCGCCCCAUCUCGAGGGCAUCCGACAAACCACGACACCAACCACGAACCGAAUCCCUCACCCGCGUGCGCCUCCGGCGCCGUCAUUCAAAAAUCGGCGCCAAGCGGCAGCAAGCAAGGCAUCAAAACCAGGACCCACACGCCCCCAGCAGGGAGGCGCAGGCGCGCGCGCGCGUGCGCACGCGUGAAUGCCCGCCAUAUCUAUCGCAGAUGCGGCACGACAUCCCGCCCUAUUUGUCUCACCAGACCACUACGCACUGGCCCCUUCUCAUGCAUCAGAUCAUAAUACAAGGGUGCCUUGCGAGCCAACCCGACACUCCCCACAGCCCGCAGGCACGCAAGGGCGCCGGCGGGGCCCCGCGCGCCUGCGCUCAGCGCGCACGCGACUACGCGCCCCGGCCAUACGCCGCUCGCCAACCUAGCACUUGGCCGCAAGUAGCUGAGACACAAGCAACUAAGAACCAGCUAGCACAAACCUGCCGAAACAAAUCAGCAAAUUUACGCCACCCACUUCUUGGCGGUGACCUCAGCCAGGUCGACCACGCGCUGGGAGUAGCCCCACUCGUUGUCGUACCAGGCCACGACCUUGACCAUGUCGUCGCCCAUGACCAUGGUCAGGGAGGCGUCGAUGGAGGUCGACUGGUCGGUGCACUUGAAGUCAAUGGACACCAGGGGGGCGUCCUCGACGUGCAGCACGCCCUUCAUGGGGCCGUUGGCGGCCUCGCGGAAGGCGGCGUUCACCUCCUCGGCGAAGGUCUUCUUCUCAACCUGUGGUUGAGCGGGAGCGCAGGACAGGACAGGAGGGUGGGUCAGUGACAGCCUCAAGACAAGUUACUGAGGCGUGCAGCAUGCCACCGGCAACACGAAAUAUACAAGAAUUCGGUAAGCGGCGCCCACUGUCCAGGUGUAGUUGUUACAGCGCAAGGGGAGGCAGUCUCACCUGGACGACCAGGUCGACGACCGACACGGUGGGGGUGGGCACGCGCAGGGCAAUGCCGUUCAGCUUGCCCUUCAGGCUGGGCAGCACCAGCGACACGGCCUUGGCGGCACCGGUGGUGGUGGGCACAAUGUUCAGGGCGGCGGCGCGGGCGCGGCGCAGGUCGCGGUGGGACGCGUCCAGCAGGCGCUGGUCACCGGUGUAGGAGUGGGUGGUGGUCAUCGUGCCCUUGACAAUGCCGAACUUCUGCUCCAGCACCUGGGGUAGGCAAGGGAGAGGGGAAAGGGGAAGGGCCGGGUCAGAGACAGGUGAGCUGACAAGACAAGAUAUCCCAGGGCACUCGGACCCGCAACACCGUGGACGCUCUUGCCGCCCCCCGCAUUUAUUCCUGACGAAAAAGCCACAGCAAGCAACAUGCGUAAGCUUCCUUACCUUGACGAAGGGGGCCAGGCAGUUGGUGGUGCACGAGGCGUUGGAGAUGAUGGGGUACUCGUGCUUGUAGUCGCCCUCGUUCACACCGACCACGAAGGUGGGGAUGUCCUUGUCCUUGGCGGGGGCGGUGAUCAGCACCUUGGAGGCACCGGCCUAUAGAUGUGUGGGGCAAGGCAGGGGGGUCAUGUCAGCAGGGGGAACGAGCUCAAUGGGCGAGCGAGCGCCGUUACUCGUAACGCCAACACCCCCCCACUUGCUAGCGAGCAGUGCCGACCCAAAACGUGCACACCCAAAACCCCCGUCGCUUCCCGGCCCAGAGAUGCGCUUUAAUUGCGGCAUGCUCACCUGGAUGUGCUUGCCAGCGCCAACCUUGUCAAUGAAGACACCAGUGCCCUCAAUGACCAGGUCGAUGUUCAUCUCCUUCCAGGGCAGCUGCAGGGGGUCGCGGCUGGACACAAUCUUGAUCUGCUUGCCGUCCACCGAGAUGUGGCUGUCGUCGACGAUCUUAACAUCGGCGGCGAACGUGCCCAGGGUGGAGUCGUACUUCAGCAGGUGGCUGGCCUGCUUGACACCGCCGCUGUCGUUGAUGGCAACCACGUCCAGCAGGGUGUUCUGGCGACCGUGCCAGCAGCGCAGGAAGUUGCGGCCAAUGCGACCGAAGCCGUUGAUGGCCACGCGGAUCUUCUUCUCCGCGCGCACGUCGACGACGGCGCGGGCAGCCUGCGAGCGCGAUGCAAGAGAGUAGGAUCGGUGAACGUUGACCUGGCAACCCAACUAUCUUAUUUAUCAACUGAUCACACACGUAGCAGAAGCCCGCCGAAGACCCAGCGAGUGCUGGGCUGUGCGACCCAAGAACCCAAGUCCGCAAGCAAAAGCCGAGCCAUGCCCACCUUGGCGCGGACGCCAGACUUGGAGGACACGGCGCUGCCGGUGAAGGCGCUCUGCAAGCGCAAGAAACAAACAGGCGCGGUCAGGACUAGAAGAAAGAGGCGCCUGAGGCGCUUGGGUCGGGAUCACAUCUGGAAGUUCUGGGUGACAAGUCGCUGGUCUUUGGAUAUGUAUUGCUGUUCGGUAUUGAGUGCACUGCGCACCUUCUGCAUCAUGGCGGCCAUUUUGGACAGGACCCGUAAGAGUACCGAGCUUGCUGAGCCCGCGUUGCUUUUAGCCGGUCGGCUCGGCUCGCUCGGUGCCGUACGGGUGGCGACCCAUGCAGCCUUAUCGGCGUCGUACCUCGCGUUCGCCGCUGAACGAGCGCGCGGUGCCCCCUGGAUGAUGCUUGUAAAUCUAGACCCACUCACUGCGACGCGCGCGGGGGUGCGCGGGAGCGACCGGCGCGCGGGGAAGCCCCGGCAUUCUAGUCAAGUUUUGCGGGACUCGCGGCCGACCGCAUUUUAACCAUGGCAAUGACUUAUUGAUGCGAUAGGAGAAACAUCAAAAUUUUCUCUAGGGGUCGACGAGCGCUGCGCGCACGCUGGUGCUUGCACUCAGCUCGAGAACCCGCGACACUCGCGAAAGCCACGCUUUAUUCUUUAUCAUGCUUUCUUCUAUUGCUGCGUAAGUAUUCUACUCCCGGCAAGCCUGGGAAGCAUGCAAGGCAGUCAGGGCUUUCGCGUUCGCGUGGACACGACGCUGUAAGGCGCGAAAUAUACAUCUCACUCAGAAAAGAAUGCGGGGACUGUCCGUUCUAAAGGAGCGCUGGCGGCGUGAGAAGCGACCGCGAGUGCCCAUCGUGCAACAUCUCUAAGGAGCGCUUGGGGAGACACGCCGUGCUGUGGACUUGACCGGGCACACGACGGGUGUUCAGGGCGUGCAAAGACAUCGCGAACUGAUCUUGGGAACUGCGUGACCUUUCGCCUAUCAUGGUGCGGCCAGCGUGGAAGGGCGGGACGCGCCGUGUCGGCCCGACAACGCCGGGACACGCCGCUACUUGUUGUCAGGGUGGGAGCGCUUGCACUGGGCGUCCGUAGAGGUGCAUCUGACAGGUAGCCGCCAGACGUCGGGGUGCAUGCGUAGGGGCAGUGAGGGCUCCAGGGCGUGGCUCCAGGGUGUGGCGGUGCAAAGCGCUCGCGGGCGGCUCGCGUACCACGGUGCUGCUCAAGCCCGUAUCUUGGGAUGACAAAGGCAACGGAUGACGGCGACAGUUGGGUGACAUCAGCGGGCCAUGCGGUGGACUGUUGGUGGACGUGACGCCAUGCGGCUAAAGACGGUGGGGCAAAACAUGUGGGUGCCCAAAUGCUGUACAGCAGGGGGCUGUUGUACAUAGCACUGCAUAGCAGAACUGCCUUGCAGGGGGUUGCUACUUGUCCUUGGUUCUCAUGGGAUGGUGCAAGCAACUGCCCUCUGCCCCCACAACAGCAGCUUGCAAUCAGGCGCAGCCGCGCGCGGCAGGGCUGCUGGGCAUCCAGUCACGCAGCCGCACCCCCGGUCCUGCCUGGUCACAUCCGCCUGCCUAGCCGGCUUCCCAGGCGUUGCCCGCUCGGUCGCGUGGGGGCUUAUGGGCGUGAAGGAGGGCAACUGUGUGACGCGGCUGAGUUAACAGCUCGACAUGCAGUGGCGGGAAGCCCCCAUGAAGGCGCCAGCGCGUGGUGGGCUGCAGCCUUCUCCAGGGGAGGCCCUGCCUCCCAAGUGGCUGCGUGCGGUCGCCACCGCCCCAAGCUGCCACCAGUGCUCGUAUCUUGUAGAUGCCCUCAGGCACCCGGCAUCUACACAUGCGUAGAUGACCCUGACCGCGGCAUCUACACUUAAGCCCCCAAGCCCCCCAAAACGUCUACGCUUCCCCCAUUUUUGCGCCAAAACCGGCCAAAACUGUCUACACUGCGUAGAUGCGUGGCACCCAAACCCAAAAAUUUUUCUCCGCCUUCGGCGGAUUUUGGGCAGAUUUCUACAGUGUAGAUGGAAGAUACGAGCACUGGCUGCCACCUGCAUAAUCCUGUGCGCCCGCGAAGGGGCAUCAUGGUCUUGCAGCUGGUAGCAACGGGGAUGGGCACGCGACCCACGAGCGCGGAGGCUGCAGCGCACGGCGCCCCCGGUGCACCCGUGCUGGGCGCGAGCUUCUCCUAAGCCACGGUGUUGAAGCACAUGACUUGUGGCCUUGAGAACGCAUACAGCUGGAAUUGCCACGGAUGCGGCGACAUUGGGACUUGCCAGGUCAGCCAGGUCCAGGGGGGCUCCCUGGCCAGGUCAGCCCUGUCCAGCCCUUGCGUUACUGCGGUCCCCGCCUUCUCGGGUGCGUCCGUGCUCCAUGGACCUGCUGUCGCAUGUGCGAUUGUUUGGAAGGGCAAUUGCACAGCAGAGCGGCGGUGCGUCGGGGGGUGGGGUGGGAGCGGGGGGGCCGGGGGGGGGGGGGGGCUGGGCCGGGGCUGCGCUGGCACCGGAGUCCUGCACCGGGCCUGGGAUGAUCAUGUGCGCCCAUUCUGGAAGCCUAGCGCCACCGCGCCUGCUACAGUGUUUCGCACAAUCACAUCAGCAGCGAUAACUCUGACCCAAUCUCUCUCUGAAGCUAGCUAGCCCACGCGCUCACUCAGUAAGCUCUGUGAACUCUAAACCGUGCCUCCACGAAAAGGUUGUGCCUUUGGAAUGUUAUACCAACGUAUAGCAACGGAUGCGGACAGUAUAGAGUUGCAGCGCUGGUAAAGACGGUGGAGAACAAUGGGAAGUGCAUGCACAAAAGCAGGCCGGGAGGAAGCUGCCUUCCUCAAGGCGGCAAAGGAUGGUGACUGUGGACAAGUACAGCAGGUGCAGCGGGGCGGUGUCGCGGGAAGCACGUAAUUGAAUGCCGUUCAUGUAGCAGCGCGCUUGCGGAUGCGAUGAGUGGCUAGCUUCAUUUCAUAUUGCACAUUUCUACACCCCAACUCGCGCGGGGGGCGUUCGCAGAGGCCAGAACUUUAACCACCGCAUCAUGCUGGGCUGCCUCUCGCAGGCCAUCCUAAAGCACGUGGACUGGGGCUACAGGGCCCAGACGUGGAAUGGACAGAGCGUCUUCCACCUGGCAGCGCGCUAUGGGCGAGUGGACGUAUUGGAGACGGUGGUGGAGGCGGUCCGGUAUAAUCCCGCUGGACCGGACCAGUGGAAGAAGCUGCUACGGUGCGUUUUGGAAGUGCGAAGCGGGGAGGGACGACGAUGUUUAGCGUGGCGGGGCUCGGCAAGCGCAGGAGCCCGGGCGGGCCCGGGGGGCGAAGCGCGUGUGCGUGUGCAGGGUUUCGUGGGCAGGUUGGGCCGUACCUGGUUGCGCGUUCGUAGUUUUUUCCUGGGAGCGCGGAGUACGGCCCAGUAGAGCACCCCUCGCCCAGCCACACAGCGCCUGGCGCAAUCGCGAGCGGCUCGUGAGGCGAGCUUGCACGAACGGCGCUGCGCGCCUGCGGGGCCUGGGGUCGGGGUGGCGAAGGGAUGAAGGAUUUUGGAGAGAGGGGCGUGGCCAGCAGCCGGCCGGCACGGGGCAAGGGUGCCGCGGCCCAACCAGCCUCCAGAGGUUUGAUGUGGGUCGGGUCUGAAGCUGCACGCAGAUGCCGUGCUGUGUUCGGAGAUUGCGCAGCUAACGGGGUUGGCUAGAAGGAAAGGCAGGCAGUGCAAAGGCGGGUUGAGUGGGGGCGCCGCGCAGCAUGUUGGAAGGCGCCUGGGGGCUGACACACGGGCGCGAAUCUGAGGGGGCUGACGGAGCGGGUUGGCAGGGGGCUGUGGGGUAGGGGUGCCGGGCUGCGGGUGUCGCCGUGUCAGGUGGCAUGCGUGUGUGUGUGUGUGCCUGAUGCGUGGUCCAGCACCCGUGGUCCGCCGUGUGGCGCCGCGGCGCCGCCUGAGCUGUCCUCGCGGCCAGGCGGCCGGCACUUGUGUGCGUGUGUGUGUGGUGUGUGUGUGUGUGUGGGGGGGGGCUUGGCAGGAACCUAGGGCUCCAGUAGGCAUGAGAAUGAGCGCGCAUGGGGCGGCGCUCUCACGGCCGUCCCCCCGCCGCCCCCACAUCCCCGCACCCAAUCCCCACCCCAACCCCCUCCCCCACCGCAGGAUGGGCCACUCCACGGACGCCAUUCUGAAGGCCUACGCCAACCUGCAGGUGCGCGCGCGCGCGCGUGUGUGUGUGUGUGUGUGUGUGUGUGUGUGUGUGUGUGUGUGUGUGUGUGUGUGUGUGUGUGUGUGUGUGUGUGUGUGUGUGUGUGUGUGUGUGUGUGUGUGUGUACAAGCGUGGCACGGCGCUGUGUUAGGACACGAGGAACGGUGCCGUGUGUGCGUUGUGGGUGUCGGGCCGGGAAACAGACCGCGCCAUCAUGUGUUGGAAAAGCAUAAAAAGGGGCAGGGUCGGCAUUGUGCAGGCGAAUGUGCAAGCAAAGCGGGGGUAUCUUUACGAGUGUCCGUUCGUGGUGGGCUCUGGGCACGUGUGGGGCUGGCGCCGCGAACACUGCUGGCAGUGCGCCCUGUGAUGCCAGGGGCCGGGCGGCUGGCGGCGCUGUCGGCCUUGAGGGCUUAGCUCCUAGCUAUGUCCUCCCCGUCCUCCCGUUGUCUUGAGCCUUUGCCGUGUGGUCCGCUCCGCCUUCUCGCUCCACCGACCCAUCCUCUCCCGACUCCUCUGCGGUCGGUCAGUCAUUCAUGCUUAGAGCGCCUCCCGUCCCUGCCUGUUCUACCUCCCUGCCUUCCUACCGGCUCCCCUCCCCGCCUCCCCACCGCCUCCCUGCCUCCCCACCACUUCCCUCCCCACCACUUCCCUCCCCAUCACGUCCCCCCAUGCCCCCCCCGUCCCCCUGUCCCCCUGUCCCCCUGUCCCCCCCCCACCCAGGACGCCCGCUGCCAGACGCCGCUGCACAUCGCCUGCAUCUACGGCAAUGCUGACGUGGCGGCGGCGCUCAUCAAGCUGGGCGCCAUGCCCUGGGCCUGGGACGAGCUGGGUGAGGGCGUGGUGGAGGGAAGGGUGGGGGGGGGGGGGAAAGAGAGAGAGAAAAGGGAAGAGGGGAGUGGCAAGGUUAAGACAUUUGGGGGGAGGGGUAGCCGGUCAUGUGGAGAACGGGGUGGUUACAUCACAAGCCGACAUCCGUAGGGAGUCGAGAGUCUGGACACCCGACCCGGCCCCGCCCACAACCCACCCGCCCCUCCCCCCAGUGUUUUGACAUUGCAACUCCCUCUUCGCUACACUUCUCUGCACCAAUCCUUGCACCGGGAAGGGGUGGGGGAGAGUGAAGAGGGGGUCGCAAAGAUGGUUGGGGUGUAGCCGGUCAUGUGAAGAAACGGAAUGAGGUAAAGCAGUAUGCUGACGUCCGGAGGCUGGAGACCCGACCCGACCCUCCCACAUCCCACCACCUGCCCCCGUCUACCACUUCCUUAACUAGUCAUGCAUGUAACACCCCCCUCCCCCCAGGCGGCCGCACUCCGCUGCACUACGCCGCCAGCAUGGGCCACGUGGACGUCAUCCGGGCGGUGCUGGCCGCAGCCGGCCCCCCGCCCAGCGGCGAGGCGCUGCGGCGGCCCAACACCAGCCGGACCAAGUGAGGGAACCGGGGGAGGGAGGGAAGGAGGAUUUGGGAAAGGAGGGCGGAUUUGGGGUGGCAGGUGCCUGGGGCCGGGGAUGGGGGCGGGGGCGGGGGCGGGGGCGGGGACGGGGGGCGGGGUGGGGGGCGGGGAACUGGAUGUGGGCGCAUGGGGCGUGCGGCGGGGGAUGGGGGCCGGGGCUUGGGUGUGCUGUCCCUGACAUGUACACACACGCGGUCUGCAAACACAAACACACGAACACGCAUUGUGCUAUCCUAACACACAAACGCACACACUGCGCGCACACACAGGCUGGUGGACAUCUGCAACGACUCGGGCUACACGCCGCUGCACUACGCGGUGAGGGUGGGGUGGGUGUGGGGAGUGGGGUGGUGGGGUGGGUGGGGUGCAAUCCCAAAGAAACCAAGACCCAGAACCAGCCCUGGGGGUGGAGUGGGAGUGGGAGUGGGGCCGCACGGGCAGCUGUUACAGGGGGCAGGGUAGCGGGUGUGUGUAGCCCGCUUGGAUCGAUGGGCCCAAGAAUCCAAGGUGGGCAGAGGUGGCGAGGCGUUAGCCAUGAGCACCCCGCAAACUCAGCACAACCCGCCCACCCAUCCUCCCACCCCCUCUACCACUUCCUUAACUAGUCAUGAAUGUAACCCCCUCUUUAAUACACACCGUCGGCAUGAAUAGCUACCCCAUAACCAGUCGUGCACGCCCCCCACCCCUCCCGCCCUCCCCACUCCCAUUACCCGCACCCUCCCGCUCCCCCCCUCCUGCUCCCCCCUCUCCCCCCCCAAAAAGGUGUGGGCCGGCAACACCGCCUCCAUCCGCGCGCUGGUGAGCUACGAGGCGUCGCUGUCGGCUCGCAACGUGGCGUGCGGCAGCGACUGGGUGGUGUCGGCGCUCAAGUGCACGCCGCUGCACCUGGCGGCGCACAAGGGCAACGCGGCCGUGGUGAAGCUGCUGCUCAGCGCCUACGUGAGUGUUGGUGUGGAGGCGGGGGUGGGGUGGAGGGGGUGAGGGGGUGAGGGGGUGGAGGGGUGGGGAUGGGGGGGGGGUGUUCAGGGGGAUGGAGGGGGGGGGUUGGGGUGGAGGGGUGGAGGGGUGGAGGGGGGGUUUAGGCGUGGGGUUGAGGGGUUAGGGGUGGGGGCGGGGGUGGGGUUGUUAAGGGAUAGCGCUAGGGAGGAUUCACGCAGGGCAGGGCAGGUGGCUUGUGUUGUGGAGGGAGAGUCAGCUGCACGGUAUUUCCAAGUCGAGGCCCAGAACCGGAAACCACUCGCAAGCUUCGUCUGCGUCGUCACCAGUACCAGUUGCCUGACUCAGCCAUCCCCACAACCCCGUCCAUCCGCCCCCGCAGGUCCAGAGCCAGGUGCCGCAGGGCUCCGAGCCGCCGCCCGUGCACGACCGCCGCCGCCGCGACCCGCGCCGCCACGUCAACGCCGCCCGCCAACUGCCGUACCACGUGGCGGUUGCGCGCGGCCACAACCACCUGGCCGAGCUGCUACACCCCGACGUGCCGUUCAGUUUUAUUCUGUCGCCCGCCGAGAUGGAGAGUACGGCAAGGCUGUACGGCGUCACGAAACUUGCCGUACUGGCGGCCAAGGUCCUGCAGGCCAAGCUGGUGUCGGACAUUGACGAGGCGCUGGCGGCGCUGGCGGCGGCGCCGGGCCGCGGCGGCGGCGGCGCCGGCAGCGCCGCUGCCGCCGGUGGCGGAGGCCUCGGUGGCGGCGGCGGCGGCGGCACGUUCUCUCGGGCGCGGUCUGGGAGCAUAGCGGCGCUGAGCGGCGCGGUGGCGGCGGCGGCGGCGGCGUCCAUGCGCGAGCGGUCCGUGCAUGGCUCCGUGCACGGCGGCGGCGGCGCGCUGGGGGCGCUGGCCGGCGGCGUCGGCGGCGGAGGCGUGCCGACGGCAGCGGCGCUGGCGGCGGCGGCCUCCGCCAGCCUGGACGCAGUGCUGGCGGCGUCGGCGGCGGCCGCCGGCAAGGAUCCGGCACGGAUCCUGGCGGCGCGCGCGUCACAGGAGAAUGCUGCCGCCGCCGGCGGCUCGCCGGCCACCGCCAUAGCCGUCAGCCCGGUCGCGACCGCCAUGGCGGCGGUCACAGGCGCCGGCGCGGCGGCGGCGGCGGCGGCGGCGGAGGCCAACGGCCAAGGCGGCGGCGGCGGCGGCGGCGUGAAGGGGGCGUCUGGGACGUCGUCGUCUCCGCCGUCGGCUGGGUCGUCGGGGGAUGCGGACCCGCUGACUGUGGAGCCCAUGCCGGUGCGUGGGGGCGGGCGUGGGGGCGGGUGCAUGGGGGUGCGGGAGAAGGAGUGGGUGCGGGUGCGGGGGCUGGCGGUUUGCGCCCUUCCCAUGAGGACUGAGCAUGGGUGGGGUCGGGUGCGGGCGUUGGGGCUGCCCAGCCAUGGGCGGUGUUGCGUUUGGGAUUGGGAGCUGGGCGCUUGCGCCGUGUGCUGGGACUGUGGGUUCCGCCUGUGCUGAGCCGUUUGCCGGCAGCUCCGCAGCUCCGGCAACGCCACCACCGGACCGUGUACGCACCACCACCACCGCCUGCUCCCGCGCACCACUGACCCCUCCUCCUCGUGCGGGCGCCGCUCACUGACGUCACACGCACACACCACUGACCCCUCCUCUGACGCCCCCCGCACACACAGGACGCCAUCGCGCGCGCCCGCGCCUCCGGCGAGCCCCUGGGUGCCGCCGCCGCCGCCGCCGCCGCCGCUACCGGCAUCAGCGCCCAACCGUCGCUGGGCCAGCCCGGCGCAAGUGCAAGUGCAGCAGCACUGCACAGCCCCGGUGCUACCAGCCCCGCCGGCGGCGCGCAGGCGGCGCCGCUGCCGCUGCCGCCCGCGCCCCUGUCGCCGUUCCUGCCGGCGGCUGGCGCCGCCGGCGGCCUUUCGGCUCCCACCUUCAACGACGGCGCCUCCGCCUUCGCCAUGUUUGCCGCGGAGCCCUUCGACGACCCGGCUGCCGCCAAGGCGGCGGCGGCGGCGGCCGCCGCCGCCGGCCAGACGCCGCCGCUGGCGGCGGCGGCCGCUGCGCCGCCGCCGCCGCCGGGCACUGGGCCGCUGCCGCUGCCGCCCGCUGGCAGCCUGGCGUCGGCGCAGCGCAACCGGGCGCAGGUGGUUGCGGCGGGCGGCGGCGGCGGGAGUCCCGACCCGUCGGCCUCGGCGGCGGCCGGCGCGCGGCGGAGCCGGCUGCUGGGCGGUGGCGGCGGUGGCGGCGCCGCCGCCGCAGCAGGCGCCAACGGCGUCGCUGCCAAGGUGCGCGAGAGCGUGUGCUUUCUUUUCGGCGCCUGGGGUCGGGCAGGUUGUGGUUCGAGUCAGGGUAAUUUGGGCAAGCAGGGGGGCACCCCGUCCCACCCUCCGAAUGCGGGUCGGUAGUCGCAUGCAUGAUACGGUAAAGGUCCCUUGAUGGAGUUUUCCCGACCCGCUCAUUACGCAUGUGCCCAUGUACCCCGUGGGCCGCACCGCACGCAGGCGCCCGGCCGCUCCCGCAGCCUGCGUAGCCUGCUCACGGGCGGCCGCCAGCGCCGCGCCGGGCCGGGGCUGGGCACGGUUGGCAGCGGCCGCGUCGGCGGCGGCGGCGGCGGCGAGAUGGGCAUUGCGUCGGACCAGGUGGGGAGGGUUCGUGGGAUUCAGCAGGGCUGCCGAGGGGGUUUUGUUGUGUUUUGUUGGGGGCGGGGCGGGGCGAGGCGGGGCGGGGCGGGGCGGGGCGGGGCGGGGCUGGGCUGGGCUGGGCGGGGCGGGGCGGGGCGAGGCGAGUGGCAGGAGCAGGGUUUCGUGUGUGCCCUUUUUGACACUACGAUGUCAUCUGACACUUAUAACUUCGCUGACGUGGUCACAGGACCUGGAGGACGCGGACGAGCUGGAGGACAUCCUGUUCGCCAUCCAGCCACACGACCAGGCAGAGGCAGCCGCCGCCGCAACCGCCGCCGCCGCCGCCGCCGCCGCCGCCGCGGGCGCCGCCACGCCAAGCGCCGCGCCGGCCCUGGCCCCCGGCCCGGUGCCGCAGAAUCCGGAGGGCUCGGUUGCUGGCGGCGGCGGCGGUGGCGGCGGCGGCGGUCUGUGGGGCCGCCGCCGGACCGGCGUGGCGCCGUCGACAGGCGGCGGCGCCGGCACGGAAGCCGCGCUUCUAGCCGAGGCCUCCCGUAGCGGCCGCGGCGUGCGACAGCCCCACCCAGGCGCCGCGCCGGACUCGCCGCAGGCCGGCCGCUCCGUUCGCGGCGGCGGCUUCUGGCGGCGGCGGUCCGGCACACUGCCCGCGCCGGCGUCGGCGGCGGCGUCGCCGCCGCCAGCGGCGGCGCCGCUGGCGGUGGCUGCCGCAGACCCGUCCUUCCACACGGAGCCCAGCGGCCACGAGGCGAGCCGGCAGCUGUCUUUCCAGGGCGCCAGCGGCGCUGCCUGCAGCGCGGCCGGCGGCGCUACUGUGCAGCCGCUGCCCGACGCCGCCAGCAUCAUCCGCUCGCGUCUGUCCAACGACGCCGCCGCCGCCGCCGCCGCCAACACCAGCGGCGGUGCGCCCGCCAGCCCGACCACGGCGGCGGCGACGGAGCGCAUCGCCGCCACCAUCGCAAACCUGGCGGGCGCCGGCGCAGCCGGCGGCGCAGCCGCCGGCACCGGCGGCGCCGGCGGCGCCGCCGCCGCCAUGGAUCUGGAUCGCGCGGUGGCGGCGAUGCUUGCCAACCUGGCGGAGGCGCCGCAGCAGGUGCUGCGCCGCUACCGGCUGCUGCAGCUGACGCAGGGCGUGGACCUGCAGGACCUGCUGCGGGACCACCAGGAGCUGGCGGCGGCGGCGGCGGCGGUGGACGCGGCGGCAGCGGCGGCGGGGCUGCCGCCGGCGGCGGCAGCCGGCGGCGCAGCCGGCACAGCCGGCGCGGCCGGCGCCGGCGGCGCCGGCGCGUACGCGCCGGCACAGCCGCCGGCGGUGCUUGCGAGCGCGCUGCAGCGGGCGCGCUCGGACGCAGAAGGGCUGAUGCGCGGGGCGGUGGGGCAUGGCUGGGUGGACCGGUCCUCCCGCGCCGGCGGCGGCGGUGCCGCUGGCGCCGGCAGCGGCGCGCUGCAGGGCCAUGGCUCCUACCGCGUCGGCGGCGGAGGCGGCGACGCAUCCGCCCGCGCCGGCUCCGGCGGCGGCGGCGGCGGUGGUGGCGGCGGCGGCGGUGGUGGCGACGCGGCGGGCGGCAGCGCUUUCCUGGAGCACCGGGUCACGUGGCACGGCCGCGGGGGGCCCGCAAUGGCAGACACGGCGGUGCCGCUGGGCGCGUCGCCGCCAAGGGCGCUCACCGCCGGCGGCGACGGCAAUACUGGCAGCGGCGGCGGCGGCGGCGGCGGCGAUGGCCUGACGCCCGCCGCCACCGCCGUCGCCGCGGAGCUGAGCCCCUUCGCCUCGGUGGCCGCGGCGGCUGCGGCGGCGCCCUCCCCGGUGCCGGCGCCAGCCGCCUGCCACGACCUGCUCGCCUUCACGGCCCCCGUCAUGCCCACCUCGGCCUCGGAGGCGCAGCCAACGCCGGCCGGCGCAGCCAGCCCUAGCACCGCUGCUGCCGCUGCAGGCGCAGCCGCGUCGCCGUUUGCCGCCGCGGGGAUCCUGACGCCCGCCGCCAGCGGCACUCCCGCCAGCGCCGCGGAUGCGGGCGGCCGCACCCUGUCCCGCCAGCCCACCGGCACAGGCUUCGCCGCCGCUCCCGGCGCCGCCGCCACUGCCGCCGCCGCCGGAGGCGCCGGCGCCGGCGCCGCCAUGGCUGGGACGCUGCUGCGCGCGCUGUCGUCGCAGGCCGCCAGUGAGAGUGGCGAGGGCGUGUGCGGCGUGUGCUUUGACCAGCCCGACGUGCUGGCCGUGACGGGCUGCGGGCACCGGCUGUGCACGGACUGCAGCCGGGAGCUGUGCAAGCUCAACACCUUCAAGCCGGCGCUGUGCCCCUUCUGCCGCGGCCUCAUCGGCGGCUUCAAGCUGGUGAAGCAGUGAGCGGCGCGGCGGCUGGCAGAGGUUUGGGGGUGGGGGCGGAGGUGUAGGAGGUGUAGGUGGAGGCGGGGGUGGGAGCUGCAGGUGUUGGCUGGAAGAAGACGCGCGGCGACGUGCCGCGCGCGUUCAGAAAAGGGCUAGGGGGCCGUGGAGGUGGACGAAGUGGUGGUGGUGGUGGUGGUGGUGGGGCAGGGGCCGCGGAGGGAUGGGAUGCAGGAGCGCAGGAGGGGGUUCAGGGAGCAGCAGGGGGCGCGCCGCCAUUGCGGCUGCAGUACAGGCCUGGCAUGCACGUGCAUGACGUUAGGCAUAUCACAUGAUGGCAGACAUGCAGGCGGGCGGACAGAGCUGGGGUUGUGUGACUGGGCUUGUGGCCUCAGCGGGCCAGGCCGCAUCUGUUAGUCAGGGUGGGGCAAGGGGAAAGGUGAGGCGACCGGGGAGAAAGCAUGGCUGAGGCUGCUGCUGCUGUGGCGGUUGGGCACGCAACGGAUCCAAAUCCACACACGUGUGUAUGCAUAUGGCAGCUGAGGUCCCGGGGCAGGGGGUGAAUUUCUAUGCGUUUGGCGAUGCAGACCUGCUCUCCGUGCUGCUGCUCGCCCCUGCCCAUGCAUCAGUAUGUGUGACUUUCGUAGGCCAAGAGAGAUCGAGGCGUGCCACGCCGCGCAUUCAAUUAUUUUGCGGUUGCGGCCGUGUAUUUUGGGCUGAUUCUAACGGGCCUGUUUUGAUUUACGUUAUGCUAAUGCCGUGCAUUCCCGAGCGCUUCGCUCCAGAACAAGUACGAUGCAAGCCACUGUCGUUGUGGGUCGCGCUUCUGCUCUCGGCUUUCUAUUGCGUUUUGCAUAACUCGUGGGGGCCUCUGGUGCAGUCUGCCCUGGCAGAGCCGGUCCCGGCGCUCACAUUACAUAACGUGCUCCAGUUGCUUUGCCGGCGCACUGCAAACAGGCUUUUGCAAAAUUGCUGCGCUGUCUAGGCCACGAAGUGACGACGAAAGCAGACGGCUGCGUGUGUGGGACCCUGUGUUGAAACAUUAACGGAAGAAAACCGCCCAGAUGCCGGAGAUACUGGGGCCGUGUGUGAGUGCGUGUUUUGCAUUUGGGGUAUUAUCUUUGCGGGCACUGCCGCCGCCGCUGCCGCGCGGGCGGCAGCAGCUUGGCCUGGCUGUGUGGCGGCAGGGCCCUCCAGGGCUGCUCGGUGCGGGGGCAUGGCAUCCUGGGUUGCGGCGAGGCAGACACAUUCAGUGUGGGGGAGUGUAGCGCAGCACAGUGAGCGGUCUGUAGGCUGUGUGACGCGGCGCACGGCGUAAGUCGAGGCGGCGACGGAGGAUGCGCUGCGGGAGUUUGCGCCCAGUGCGCACCGUGACCAGCUGCGGUGAUGCGCAGAUAGAUGAUUGGGCAGAUGGCGGGUACAGGGAAUGGGGGGCUCCAGUGGCGUAUCGCACACGGGCGGCAAUGUUUGGAGCAUGCAGGAGGCGGAGGGACGAGGCAGGGACCGGCAUAACGACCUGUCGCAUUGCGUGCGACACAGCAUCAGAGCGCACCAAGAGGUGGCGCAUGGCGGAAGCAUGAGGGGAGGGGACGCUGCCUCCGUGUGAUUCAUGUAAGGUAGGCUGGAGCGCCCAGCGUGCGAAAUGGGCGGGAUUGCUGUACGCGGCUGGGCAGGUGUGGGGGCUGGACGCGCCUGCCCCUCCCGGCCCUGAUGGCCAGGGGUGCUGAUGGCCGCCCCAACCGGGGAUGGGCCGCGGUUCCAGACAUGCCCGCGCAGUGUCGAUAGCUACCCCAGCCACAUCUGAGCAGGUGUGAACACAGGUCGAGCCCCGAUGUGAGCAACCCGCCACGGCACAGCUCAACGCGGACCUGUCGGCUGUCGCAUACCCUGACUGCGGCAUCAUCAUGACGUCCCGGUGCUACCUCCCUGGGUGCUAGCUCAAGCCUACAACCCGCUGCAACCCUUAAAGCAUCUUCGAUAACCCGGUGUUUCCGCCUUGUUUGGCUCAGCCAGGCUCAGCACAGCCCAGGUCUCCCCACCCCAGCCCCUUGCAUGUAUGCUUAGUCCGGCUGGGGCUAUGUGUCAGCUUUCUAAGAGGGCGCAUGCACCAUGUCCGCCAUGGCCAUCCCACUCCUUCCCCGCCAGCUUUACCCUGUUCCACUGUCCGCCCUUCUUUGGGAACCCACGUGUCACACUGAUGAGUAACGGAGCGCGCUAAAGCUGACAAGCUGCCUGCUGCUGCGCUGGCUGCUGCAUCGUGGGAAGCCAACGGCCAGAGCUGUGAGUUCUGCUGCGCCCGACAGCUGGCACUUUGAUGCGAAGUCUGCUGCCAUGCAAAGCUGUAACCGCUGGCUUCAGAUCGUUGCAGUGCUGCACGACUGGCUGUUGCUGUGCAGUCCUGCCGCUGUUGCUGUAGCUGCGUAAGAGCACAUGCAAGCAGCAAUUGCGCAAACCCCGAACCCCAUCCGAAAGUCAGAGCCCCCACGCGCCAACACCGCAUGACAACACGCCCGACGAGUCAACCGGCCGCACGCGGGGACAGCAACACACGGGCACAACAUCGACGCACAAUUGGGGCAGCACCGCAAACGCCAACCGCGGCACGCCACGCUCACGCUUCAAUCACGCCCCGCUGCCCUUCUUCGGCACAACCCCACGCGGACCAGCGGGACGGCCCCUGGCCUGCUGCAGAGCGGCUGCUUCCCCAACCCCUGCUGCUGGCCGUGCUGGUGCAGGCGGCGUCGCUGCACGGGCCCAUGCAGCUCGCAGCGACCGCCGCCGUGAUGCGCUCACAGGUGGGGGGCACCGGCGCGUGAUGAACAGACACGACUGUCGCCGGCGGCAGCGCACCCGCGGCACAUGGCAGCGGGCGCGGCGGUCACACGGAGUAAACCGAGCCGCGGUGCCACACUCCGCCACGACCGCAAGCAGCACUUGCCGCCGCCGCCCACCUGCCGCCCAUGCGGCCGCCGCAUCGCGCGGCGCCGUGACGCCCUUGGCUGCGGCUGCUGCAGCUGCGCAAGCCCCUCUCCCUGUCCCUGCCCCCUCCGCUGCAGCGCUCGGAUCGAAGGCUACGGCUGUGACUGGCAGGAGCUGACUGGCGGUGCUGCGGGGCAGCAGGUUGCAAGUGCUGCGCCGCAACCGCGACCGCAGCUGGGCGCCGCCGUUGCAACUGCGGAAUAGCACACGGCCAAAUCAACUGCAUCCGCAUGCUGCAUGCCGCCACGGCGGCCAACUCGCACCACUGUCGCAGCACCACGCCGCCUGGACAUUGCUGCUGCCGCUGCAGAAGCCGCUGCGAUCCGAAGCCCCCGAGCCUGCGCGCGCUCGGAACGCCUGAGCUGCCGGCCGCCCGGCGCGGCCCUGCAGUGCACUGCGACUGUGGCGAGUUUCCUAUGCUGCCGCUGCUGCUGCCGCCACUGCUACAGCAGCCGCCCUGCAUCUGCGCAGCAGCCGCUGGCCGCCAGCACACGCCCGCCGCCAGUCCGCGCAUGGCUAGUGCACCCUCGCCCCCCCGGUGAUCAACCCAUGGCCCGCUGCUGCUGCUGCCGGUCCAGGCCCCCGUGGUCCCCGCUGAGCACCGCCGUGGCUGCUGUUGCUGCUUAAUGCGCCAGCGUCUCAAUCCCAGCCGCCUCGCCUGCCGCCGCCGUUGCUGCUGCCAUUGCGCCCAAGCACAACGGCCGCGCCGCGCGACUCAUCCGCCAGUGACUCAUCCCCAACCCCACGCCGAUUCCACGCAGCCGGCAGCCGCUCACGCUGCCGUGUAAGCUGCCCGGUGUCCGCACAACACCGCUCCCGACCACACACGAUGCAACGCCACGCACGACCGCACACACGCACCCAACACGCUCAAAACGCACCCACGCCGACGCCCGCCCGCACGCGUUCGUCCCCACCUUGGCUCGUCCAGGCCCCUCCACCUUGCCCCCUUACUCACCUUGUGAGACGAUACCCGCACAUGCACCACAGCCGCUCACGCUGCCGCUGCUACGAUAGCCAACUGCAAAUACUGCGCUAUUACACCUGCUGCUGAAUGUAAGCUGCGUCAGAGUAUUGCUGGUGCUGGUGCUGCUGCUGCUGGUACCGAGGCUGCUGCAAGACAGACACGCACACCCGCUGCUGCUGCUGCUGUCGUCCCCACGACGCGCUGCCAAACCCCAACACGACCACCGGCGGGACCUAGGGCUCGAGAAUUUUCUUAAUUUUUUGACGUUACACACGCGAACGUCGUCUUCCCGCAGGUGCAGCUCCGACUACUGUUCCUAGCUCCAAAGCGGCGGGGGUUGGGGCGGCCGGCCGCCCCCGGGGUCGGGCCAGCCCCCCCCGCCGCUGCUCCUGCGCCUCUCCACGCUUCCAGCUUCCAACCCCUGCGCGCGCCUGCGGCCGCUCGCCAGUCCCAAGGCUCCGAUGCUGCUGCUAGCUCCCGCCGAGGGCGCUUAGAACUUCAUCAGGUGCGGGCGGUCGCCGUCCUUCAGGGUGAAGCGGGUCGACAGGUAGCCCUUCAGGUCGGCCGACAGGGCCGGCAGCAGAGCGGCGUCCAGGGUCUUCUGGUUGGCGAUGUACUCCUGGCUGAGCACGUUCUUCUUCGCCUCCGACUGGUCGAAGAACUCCUUCUCGCCCUUCUUGCUCGACUUGCUCUCCACCGCCUUGAAGUAGCUGUCCGUGAACUUCGACAGGUCCAGCUUGGGCAGCGACACCUUGGUGCUGGUGCCAAUCACGUACGCGGCGUUGACGCGACGCACCGGCACACCGUUCAGCUUGAACGGGCCGGUAACGAGCAGCAGGCCCGAAGGCAGCUGGCCCAGGAAGAUGACACGCUUGCCCUUGAAGCGACCGGCCAGCAGAAUCAGCACGGUGCCUGGCGUGAUGCUGGCGCGCAGCUUGGUCUGCUUGUGCACAGCGUUGUGCGACAGAGGCUUGGGCACAUCAUCGGCGGGGUAAAAGCGGGGAGCCUUGCCCUCAGCCUGCUUGGCCACAGCCUUCUUGGCGGGCGCGGGGAA